AAUAUUAAGCUUGGUAGUUAUUUUGGAUUAGUUGAAUUAAAACCCUAAAGUUUAUAACAUUAUUGUGUAGAUAUUGCGCAGACAAUCCAGGUCUGUUCAAGAACGCAGAUUCUGCCUAUGCAACUAUGAUGUUGAAUACAUAUGCACAUAAUCCAAUGGUUUGGCCGAAAAUGUCAAAAUCAGAUUUUACACGUGUGAAUGCUAUGAAUGAUCCUGAAGAUUCUGCUCCAAGUGAACUUUUGGAAGAGAUCCAUGAUUCUAUUGUACAAGAAGAAAUCAAAUUAAAAGAUGAUGACAACAGCAUGAAGAUGUUCAGUAGUCAAAGACCAGGAGGAGAAGAAAUUGGUGGUCUUGAUAUCUCAUUCCAAUCUAACAGCCUCUUACCAUGUUCCUCAUCCCCAUUUUGCAGCUUGGAAUAAAUGAAAAAUUCAUUAACAUCACCAACAGAGAAGGAUCCAGAACUCAUACGACCAGCUUCACAACCGCAAUUUAAGGUUUGGUAACAGAUAAAAAUCAAAUAAGUGAAGUAGUCCAGACCUCCAAUGCAACAACAGAUUUGGAUAUUCAAAGCUAUCAAAUUAAGAUCAAGUUUCUUAUCCUUUUUAAUAUCAUCUUCAACAUUCAUUAGCUUCUUCUUGGCUACACCAUAAACCAGCUCUUUACACAAACCAUUCAAGCAAAUAUGACCUUGAUUUAUCUGCUUCUUAUACUUCCAGCCAGAGAGCUCCAAUUUUGCUUCCAAACUUUUAUUAUAAACACCCAAACAGAUCCAUGGUCUCCACACAUCCUGAUCAAUUAACCAGUUUAAUAAGCUCAGUCCAUUACCUUGUUGUGAUUCCAAUAUUCUAUGAUGUGAUACCCAUACCAUGACAUACUUAUCACUUGAUUUCUCCAUAAAAUAGAGCAUAUCAUCCAACAAUUUGCUUCUCUCUCGAUUGCUUUUAAACUUGAAUUUCCAUGUUUUUGCUAGCUUUUCAAAAGUAGUAACCACUUCAUAGAUCACCACGGCACCUACUAUGUCACAUUCAUGUGCAACCAAAACUUUAAAGUUAAUCUCAGAUUGUACAGUAUGAAGCUCAUACCAAGAUUGGGAGUAUGACUAAUACGGCUUCAUGGGCUCUAGUGUGUGAUCUCCAAGAAUUCCCUGUGACUCAUCAUCAAAGAUCCUGAGUUGUGAAAGCAGAAUCUAAAACGAUACUUCUAGACUUGAUUCAUUCUCUGGAGUAUAAAUAUUUUCUCGAAUCAUGUCCACUAAUUUAUCAAUAAUUUCUUCAACAAUUACAUCAUUUGGUUCCCUAACAUCAGAAGAAUCUUCAUCAUCACAUUCCACAACAAAAAUCUGAGACUUCUUAGACUCCAAAUGAUGACCAUUGGCAUAAGAUCCAUCAUAAGACAUACAAAGUCUUCUUAUUCCGCUUUCUUGUAAUUCCUCACACUAAAGUUUCAUGGGAGACUUCUCCAUGUUGGUUUCAGUGGGAAAGUUUGGUUAAUAUGGUAGAGUUUUAGUGGUUUCAAGAGGAGGUAAUAAGGAUGUAGUGUUUGGAUUGUUGUAAUGGGAUUGGUUAUUUUGGUUUUCAUAAAAACUGAAGGGACCUAGAAGGUGUGUGUAAGAGGAAUGAUUCACAACGCUUGGCUAUCCAAACAUCAUCUACAACUGUAGUGACAUCAAAUUGCCUAGAAUAUGAAGUUAGAUGAGGGUUCAUAUUAGAUAAGAAUAUAUUGAGUGCGUGAGGCAUUGACAAUGAUAACUGGGAUAAAGCAUGAUCAAAUUUCUCCAAAUGCAUUUCAACAGAAUCACACACUGCUUCAAACUCAUCAAUUCAGAUAAAGGAUCAUCAGGAAAUUUACCGAAUUUAGCAGAUAACGCUAUGAUGUAGUCAACCCAAAGUGGGAAAAUUCCAAAAUUAUUUCUGAUGUAAUCGGUAUGCCAUUGAAGAGCUUUACCAAUCAUGUGUGAAGAUGCUACGCAAACCCUCAUCUCAGGUGGUGUUUUAUGAAGAUAGAAAUAUUCAAUGCAGCGUCGGAACCAUUCAAGGAGUAAUGUUGUACCAUCAAACUUAGGAGGUUGAGGUGGUCUUGGAUAUACUGUGAUAGCGUUUGAUGGUGAUUAAUUGAACUCAUAGGUAUGUAUCUGUGAGUUCUAUGACCCUUGAGAGAGAAUCUUAGUCCACGAAGAUUCCAAACUCGCGACCAUUCCAUCUAGCUCAUCGUAGUGUUGCUUCCGCUCAUAGUUCUGCUUCUUGUACAUGAGACAGAUCUCCUCCAUAUGUUUGUUCAAAUUGAUCAUAUAUUGUUGCCUUGUCUACAUGACUAUGGUCCUUAGAAUCGAAGAGCUCAGAUACCAAUGAGACAGUAAUGUCAGUUAACCGAUAAAUCCCAUCCAUCAUGAGGUAAAGGUAAAUCUAGUCUAGAAGAUGACUACAAAGGAAGAAGAGACACUCGAAGAGGUUGAUUUAGAUGGUGAUGAUGAAUGAUGAGUGAUGAAUGAUGAACACGAUAGAGAGAACAAAGAAGAUUAUUGUUUAUUUGUUGAUUUCCCCAAAUGGCAAAAUCGCCUUACAAGUACAAUAUAGUGAUUGUACCAACUACCAAACCAACAUAAAUUGUACCAUAACCGAAAUAAAGGCAUAAAUAACUAAACCAAAUGAUUAAACCGAAUAUUAGGCUUAUAAGCUUAUUCCUGUUACACAAACUAUUUCAUAAACACCCACACUUAACGUAACACACCAGAUUAAAUCAUUCAAUCAUUGGGAGGACGGGUAGGAUCCCGCAGUUGCAGAUCACGAUCAUGAACUCGUCCGGGUCAUGAAAGAAGACCUGCUCCACUUGGAUCCCUCCGUGUUUUAUAACGCCUUUAGAAAGGAGAUAUCCAUUUUCUCGAGGUUCUUCUCUAUUAGUACCAUAUUACUGCACUGUACUUACACAAGGAUGGUUUGUUAUCAAUAUUGGGAAAGAUGAACUAUUUUUCCAUUGCUAACUCACAAAACUUUAACAAUUAAUUACCUGAAACGAGAUAGGGUGAUCCUUUGGAUCAAUCACAGUUUUCGUGAGCACUUUAUCAGGUUCUGGGGAAUACAAUAGUUGUAUUCCGAUCCGAAACCUGACAACCUGAACCUAGAAACUCAUUUAUAACUUUCUGUAAUCGGGUGACAUCCUGUCGCACAAUAAACUCGAAAAAAUCAGACAUUUAACGAUAUUAAAAAGAGACUAUACCAAGCGCCUUCAGAAGAUAAUAUGUAUUUUUAACUGUUUAUAUAUUUAUAUUAUUUUGUGACUAUGAUAAAAUCAUCUUUAUAUAUAAAUUAUUUGAUUGUUUGAUACAUUGAGUUUAUAUUAAAAUCUAUAUAAAUAUAAAGUGUAAUGUGAUCGUUCAUAUAUGACAUUAAAUUAGUCAUUUUUUGGUUCUUUGAAAUAUUAAAUAGAUAUUAGCAAAACAUAUGUAAAAUAUGAACAAAACAUAAGUAAAAUAUUUUUACGUAUGUGUUUUUAUAACACAUAAAAAUAGGAGACUCUCAGAUAUAUGUCAUACCAUCUAUUUUUAUUGUCACAUUAGCAUUUUGUUAAUUAGUUCAUUAAAAUAUCCUUUCGUAUAAAGAUUUAAUUCAAGUUCUCAACUUUCAUGUGUUUUUCAUUUUACUUUGAAACAUUUAAUCAUUAUAUAAUACUCUCUAAAUACAAAUACAAGAUAAAAAAUAUGAAAUAAGAAGAAUUACUAAUAUACAAAAUAUCAUGGAUUUUUAAAAUAAAAAGCGUAAACACAUUUUCAAACUAAAUACAUAACCUAAUUAACUAAAAAGAUAUGUGGCCAUACAAUUUUUUACUAUUUUGUGGUUUUCGGAAAAAAACAAUUUCAAUACACAUGAGGCACGGCACCACCAGAAUGGUUUCAAGCGUUUUAGAAAGAUGAUGAUCCAAAUACACUUGGGUCUUGAGAAAAAGAAAGGAUUUGUGAUUGAAAUGCGUAAGAUGGUGUAUAUAUAGGGUACGGUGUAAAAAGUUCAUAAGGCAUUUGGGCUUGUGUUUCAGGUUGAUUUUGUAAGGAGUUUAGUUGGGCUUUAAGGAUUUUUAGCUCAGAUUCUUUUUGGGCCAUAAGGGGAGAGUUUAUGGAGACAGUAGUAGCCAACUGGAGGAGGUCUUGAUGGAGGGAGGACAUCUUUUUAGUUAUUUCCUUUAUAGAAAGUUCCAAAAUGGGUACCUUUUUGUCGAUCCCAGUUCAAAGUUGCUUCGGCCGCACUCACUUGCUUCACUGUUCCAUCAGGGUUCUUAAUGUUGGGAUUUUUGUUUUUCCACGAGUGUUUGACACUGUUUUCUUCAAACUCCUUUGAUGGAAAUGGUGACUGGGAUGGAGGGCCAAACAUGUAACUCAGUGGUAGUUCUUCCCUGUCCGGGGUUGCUGGGGUCGAGCUAUUCGAAUACAAAACAUAGUAAUCAAAUUUUCCACUACUUGGCUCUUCAAGAAAUCCGACCUGAGGAUCUCCUGAUUCGUAUCUUUCUUUGAGAAUUUGUUGUGAAGAUUUUUUUCCUCUUCUCCACCUCGGGACUUUUUCUUCAUCAGACAUUUUUUACAGUCACAAAUAUCAAAGAAUUUGUGACCAGAGUCACCCAUGAAUGCGUAGACAUGAUUUCCAAGUAAGUCAAAAGAUGAGAUUGGAACGCCGGGCAGACGUGAAUCUAUCUCCAUGAAUUGAUUUUCACAUGCAGGAGUGAUCAUGUUAAUCUCAAUGCAAAAACCGGUCUUGACUUUUCUUCUUGUGCUUGAACGCGAUCUCUACAGCUCCAUCUUUUCGUCUAUGGAUAGAAGAGCCCACUGAUUGUAUUGGUGUACUUCUUUCAUGGAGUUUUUUGUUAUUGGUUACCCAUGAUUCUGAAAGUAGCUUGACUAAUUCGCUUCUUGGGAUUUGCCUUGGAAUGUGGAUGCAUGAAGAGCUAUGUUGUGACUCAAGUUGAAUGAGUAAAGCAUCUUCAGUGUCUCUAGGGAGACUUAAAUCCAUAGCAGAUUUUGGAUUCUAUAUGCCACUUGAUGAUGCAGUGUUGCUGCAUAUGUGUUUCCAAUUUUUGGAGCACCGGUAAUCUGAAGUUGGAUCUGCAUGUUUCGAUAGAUUUGUGGGUCUUCUAGUGCCGCGUUAAAGUUUGGGAAAAGAGUCACAAAGAUAGUGCCAGCAUUUAAUGUCGUCUGGAUGGUUGCAAUGCAUGCAUAUUGGUACUUUUUGUAUCUGAUGUCGGGGAGAGCGACCCUUGCCACUACCGAUAAGCCUUUUCUUCCAUAAAGAGUUAAUGCUAGGCGUAUUGCUCCAUAGUGAAGAUGUGUAUAGCCAAGACUUCGCCAAUGAUGUAUCAUUCCUUUGUUAAGACAGAGAGGAACCAUUUGCUCUGCUUUUGUUGAAAGGACCAUAAACUAUUCUAGAGGAGAGGCUAGAGCGAGUUCUUUUGCAGUAUGUUUGUUAGGCACAAACACAUGUCUGAUGACUUUAGGGAAAGUAGAAUUCGGCUUUAAGAAGGCUUUGUAAGGAUUAAGCAAAGGAAGUUGUGUAAUAGGAACUUUACUCACAUAACUCAUGUACUCUAUUUCAUAUAAAUAAUCUAAUUUUUUAGAGGUGGAUUUUCGAAAAGAGGGUGUUUUGGACAAAGUUGACGUGUUUUCUAUAAUAUAUAAAGAAAGCAGAAACCAAGACAAAAUGCUAUAAACUUCUUCUCAGUCUUCAAAGGAGUAACAAUCCAUAAGUUGUUUUCAUGUGACUAUUUAGCGAUAAGAACAUGAAGAAAAUGAUCACGAAGUACUAGCUACGCAAACCAAGGCAAACAACUCUCAUCAAAAUAAGCCUCAAGGUACUUCGAGCAUUAUGACCUCACGGAUCUUUUCUUUAGAUCUUUUAUUCAAACUUAGCAAGAUUUCUGAUGUGGAGGAUCCAUAAAAAAAUGGCAACCACAGAGCUUACUCUCUAUGCAAAGCAUAUAAUAGAAAACAACGUUAUGACAUACUACCUCUUAGAUAUUGAAGAGUCAAAGAUUAGACUACUAUGGCUUUGAUACCAAAUUUACAGACACAUAGUAGCUACAACCACGUAGGAGGUUUGAUAUGAUCGAGAUAUAGGAAACAAAUAUAUGAAAGAGAUUAACAGUUUGCAGAAGAUAAUAUAUAUAUAUAUAUAAGAGAAAGCUUUUAUUAUACAAGAACACACUCAAGAGAACACAAUGGACUCUUAGAACUCUUAGGAUUUUAGACACUCAAGCUUAUCGUGAUCAAGCCUCACCAAACUUGGUAUUUAUAGUACAUGACUUAAGGAAUAUUACAUAGCAUCGCCCGUCACGUUACUCUGUUUUUCUUCUUCUGAAAGUGCUCCAAUUGGCCAUACAAACCAUUCACCCCCACCGUCUGUCAAGCGAUGACCACAUUCCCUUCCCACAGAGCGUUGUGCCCAUGGUCCACCCAAAAUAGUGCUUCGUUGUGCUCCACUUUUAACCACACCCUCGCUGCUGAUGUGUUUAUGUUGUGCUUUAGACACAAAGGCUUCUUCUUUCCUGAUCUCUCUCUCUCUCUCUCUCUCUCUCUCUCUCUCUCUCUCUCUCUCUCUCUCUCUCUCUCUCUCUCUCUCUNNNNNNNNNNNNNNNNNNNNNNNNNNNNNNNNNNNNNNNNNNNNNNNNNNNNNNNNNNNNNNNNNNNNNNNNNNNNNNNNNNNNNNNNNNNNNNNNNNNNCUCUCUCUCUCUCUCUCUCUCUCUCUCUCUCUCUCUCUCUCUCUCUCUCUCUCUCUCUCUCUCUCUCUCUCUCUCUCUCUCUCUCUCUCUCUCUCUCUCUCUCUCUCUCUCUCUCUCUCUCUCUCUCCUCUCUCUCUCUCUCUCUCUCUCUCUCUCUCUCUCUCUCUCUCUCUCUCUCUCUCUCUCUCUCUCUCUUGUAUGAACUUGUCAUCUCUGGGGACUAGCUACGCUUAAGUUGCAUGUGCUACUUAGACCUGUGUCAAUGAGGUGAUAUUAGUAGUAUGGAGGUUAUUCAUUCCCUGCUGCUCUAUCAAAUUUUUUUAUUCUGUCUAUAUCAUGUUUCUUUUUUUUUUGGCUCUAGUUUGGCAUUGUUCAUAUUGUCUUCUUACUAUAGAAAAAUAUGGUGGUGAUAACUCUUUUUGGUUUGCUAACUACUUUAGCUUUCGUUUGUGAUUUUUUUGUAUAGAUGGUUCAAAGGUUGCUACGCAGGGUGCAUCCUAGAGCAUAGAUGAGAGGUACUGACCAACCUAGUAAAUUGAUAUUUAAUUUUGCGAUUAAGGUACUCAUCUGUUUAUGUUCAUGUUUAUGUUAUUCACUUUUAUUUAACCAUUGUAGCUACUAGCCACACUUGAUAUCAUCAAAACUCUUCCCAAAAUCGUAUUUGUUAAGUUUAGUUUUCUGUAAUACAGUCAUAGUUUGAGCCUUAGUUUUUUUUUUCCUGAUAUGUUUUAAAAUCACCAACUUGUCAGGGGUUUUGUAAUUUACAUGUAAAGGUGGCCUGUUCUGUAUUUCUCUAGUCUGACACUUAAUAUUUAUUUAACUUCAGUUCACAAGCUGAAGGUGGAGGUGAGAAAAACUGGAGGAGAAGGAGAUGAACAGCAAAAAGUCCAAAGUGCUGAAAUAGCCCAGCAGGCUAGCCAGUCAAAAAGCGGGACUAUAAACAUUUUAUUAGCAAAUGCUGGACACAUAUUAGGGGGUGCGGAAGUGGAGCUUGUUCUAAAACCUCUAUUGGUUUGUUGACAACUUACUUUGAUGUCAUUCCUUAAUUGAGCAAUGACCUGACAGACAAAAGUUUGCUGCUUAGAAGUGUCUGUUAUGGGAUUUGUCUAGAUGAAACGCAAAUAAUCUUCUGUUCCAAUGUAUAUCAUAAACAAUGAUCGUUUGAUGUAUCGACGGUCCAACUUGAUUUCAUUGUUUUGAAUAUAUUCACUUGAUGAGCCAGUGUCUAGAUAAACACACAAAAUUUUAAAAACAAUUUAACUUUUUUAAUUGAUUUUUUAUUUAAAAAUAAAAUAAAUUUCUUACUUUAUAAGUUAAUAAAAAUCUAAUGUCUUAUAACUUUCUUUUUCCCGUCUAUAACUUUUAGUCUUUUACGUUUUACUGAUUUAGCAAAAGCAGACUUCAAGUGUCCGCCGGAGUCUCAAGAAUGGAAGUAUCGGCAACAGCAAAACUAGCUCCACGGCUAAUAUCAGCGUCCUAGUUAUACGCUGGUGGGAGUACUUCGUUCCGAAUAGACAUGAACACAGCUCAACUGUUUUAGUAAAUCUUAUUUUAGUAAUAUAUACUCCACAAAACUAUAUAUUAAUUGUUUUAUACCAAUUAAUUAAUGCAUACGUGCACCAAGAAGAAAAACCAAAAUCUGAAACCAUCUUUUUUAUUUUGUCAACAAACCAUCUUCAUUAGAUAAAUGUCUUUUUCGUCAAAAGGAUAAUUAUUUGUCUUAACAUAUAAUUAAUAAAAGAAAUAUUAAUUUUAUAAAAUAUUUUUUGAAAAAAUGAGACUAUGUGUAAAGUGUAUUUAUUAAAAUAUUUUUAUUAAGUUUGUUAUUGUUUUUAAGACACUCAUAAUAUAAUAUUAGUAUUUUAUAAUUACAUACUAAUAAAAGGAGUUAUUUGAGAGGAUGCCACGUCAUCUUUUCUAAAUCAUUUUAGAGGAUGCCACGUCAUCUUUUAACUUCUUCAAAUUAAACGUAGCCACCUAAGAUUGAUGUUGUUGUUGAUGUGUUAAUGGAUUUGAUAUGGAUCCUUAACCACUUAAUAUUCUAUAUACAUAAUAGUUUUGAUGGAUCUUUAUAUUUUUUUUUUCCUCAAGCAAAACCCAAAUGUCCAAAGUAUUCUCGUGGCCCAACUAAUCUAAAAAAAAACAAAAACCUACUUUCUCACCAUCUCUCUCAUCGUCUUCCAGUUCCCACCCUCACGAUUCAUAAUCAAAGAAAACAAUAAUCGUUAUACCGGUUUAACUUUCUUAUCAAACCUUAAACCUUUCCACUUCGUAUUUUUCAUUCUCUAAUUUAAUGGCCACUACCUCCACAACCAUUAUCAGAUUCAAAAAUCAAUCCUAUAAAAUCUCCUUUCCUCGCCGACCAUACAUACAUCUCAAGAAACUCUUCAGUCUUAAAAUGUCUAAAUAACAACCCCAAUUUACUCUUGAGCCUUUCACGUUCCAGAUUUUUUAUGGCGUUGAAGGAGAAGACGAAGAUGUUUUGCUCUAAGGUAGCGUCUUCAACUAGACCCCUUUGUUAGUUGUUGGUUCUUUGAAAUCGUAAUUGAUAGUUUGAAAUUUUGAUCUGGAUUUGUGUAGUUGUGGUGAUGAUGGUAGAGUUAGGGGAUGGAAAUGGAAAGAAUUACUUACUAAUAAAAUGAGUUAUUUGGGCUCCCGAAGCAAGCCACAUCAGCUUUUCUAAAUCAUUUUAGAGGAUGUCAUGUCAUCUUUUAACCUUUUUAAACUAAACGUAGCCACCUAAGAUUGAUGUUGUUGUUGAUGUGUUAAUGGAUUUGGUUUGGUUUGGCUUUAUUUUAGUUUGGCUUUUUGUGGUUUGUGUUCAACCAAUUAUUUUUUUGUAAAUCUUGUGGGUGAAAACGUGACUAUAAUCUUCCACGUUUUUAUUCUUUAAAAUUGUAAAAAUUAGAGAUAGUGAACCUAAUUUAAUAUAAUUUUAGAUUAAUUGAUUUAUAAAAAUUAUAUCAAAUAUGACAAAAUCAAGUGCAAUGUAGAAAAAAAUACAUAUUUAAUAUUUAUAAUAUUAUUUUAUAUUAUUAAUUAGUUAAUUAAAUACACACAUUGUGUUAUCGGUUCUGUUCGAUUUUUUACCGAAUUGAACCGAAACGUUCUAGUUAAAUAUAAAUAUAACCGAAUAGUUUGAAUGUCAAUUAUGAUUCGGUUUGGGUUGGUUGGUUAAAUUUGGAUCAAUUUAGUUCGGUUCAAAAGGGUCUUUUAUAAAAUUACUAGUUUAGUACCCGUCCGAUAGACGGGUUAUCUUUAUUUAAAAUUAAAUUAAAAUUAAAUUUAUUAUAACUUUUAAAAAAUAAUUUCCAAAUCUUUUUUUUGAAAAAUAAGAGAAAAUUAUUUUCAUUUGGAAAGAGAUUUUAUUUGGUUUAAUGUAUCAAAUAAACGUGUAUAUAUGUAUAUAUAUAUAUAUAUAUCUUAAAAUACGGUAUUAAACGUUAAUUAAAAAAAUUUAGUAAUGUCAAACGUCAAUCACCAAAACAUUUGGGAGCUAUUUGGGAGCUAUUCACCAUUAUUCAUAAUAUUUCUAAAAUAUCUAGAAAAAUCUUAAUUUAGCAAUUAUCCUCUAAAGCAUGAUUAUAUCAUUUUGUAAAAAUUGUUAUUUCUUAACUGUUAAUUUUUCAAGAAAUCAUUCUCAAACUAUGAAAACUAACUAAUAUUAUUUAAUAUGAUGGUAAAGUUCUUGCAAAUUAACAUCAAUCUAAAAUAUGAUGUUAAAUACAAAUAUAGUCAUUUGUAAAUAAGUUCAUAUAAACAACGCAAAUAAACAUAAAGAUUCUAAAAUAAAUUAUAGCAUCGUUGAUGAAAACAUUAAAAAAUCUUUCAAAUACGAAUUAUAAAAAACUACGUAUUUUUAAAAAAUAUUUUAAAAUUACUAUAUUACGAAUUAUAUUGAAAUUUUGUUAUCUUUAAUUUAAGCUAAAAAUAUUAUUUUCGAAAAUUGUUUAUUCACCCUUAUGUUUUAGACAAUGAAAUGGCUCAAUGGCAUAAUACAUUCAUACAUAAAUUAAAAAUUAAAAAAAUAUAACAUGUUAUAAAAUAAAAAUCAUGACUAAAAAUAUUUAUUUAGUUAAACUCAAAAUGUAAAUUAUUUGUACAAUGUAAAUCCUAAUUUUCCUUUAUGAACGCAAACUGAUAAAUAACCUUGUUUAAUUGUAAAAUCUAAAUCUCACUCCUCUUUUAUAAACCCAAACCGAUAAAUAAUCUCGUUUAAUUAUAAAAUCUAAACUAUAAUAAACAUUUAUAAACUCAAACCAACAUAUAACCCUUAUAAAUGUAAAACCUACAACUGGCAAAACCAAAAAUUAGGUAAAUAGUUAAAAGAGAAUUUUUGAGAAAUACCCCUUUCAGUGUACAUCUUUUUAAAAAUACACCAAUUUUCUAUCCAUUUUUAAAAAUUCCUCUUUCAAAUAUGAAAAAUUGUAAACUUUUAUAUAGUUACCAAAUUGACAUAACUGAAAUUAGGUUAUUUGUUUAAAUUUAUUAAUAAUUUUUGAUAUAUAACUCUUUAUAAUAUUUGUUUUAUAUAUUUCCUUUUUCGAUAGGGUUAAUAAUAUUCUUAUUUUAUCUACAUAUUAACAAAAUUAGAAUCGACACGUGUCAACAUCUUAACGUUAAUAACUGACACAUGUCAAGAUCUUUGUAAUGGCUGACUUUGAAAACCAAAGAUUAUUAGGUUUUAACCCGCGGUACACCACGGGACAAUUGUUUUAACUAAAAAAUAUAUAUAAGUUAUAUUUGUUAAUUUUAUUACAUUUUUAGUGUUUAAGAUUGUAUAACUGUAUUUUUGAUUGUUAUUUUUAUUACUUAACUCGCGGGAUUGUUUUUUGUAACUCGCGGAACUAAAAAAGUUAUGUUUAAGUUAUAUUUGUUCUUUUUUUUGUUUUGUUAACCCGUAAGAUAACCCGUAAGAAAAACAUAAAACUCAAACCCGUUAAAUCUUAUCUAUGUAAAAUAUAAACCUUGAAUGUUUUAUAGAUUUCGAGAGAUUUUGGUUUUUGCCACAAUCAAGAUUUUAAAAUUUUUGAUUCCCUAAAAUUUAGUAAAACUUUUUUUGUUGUAAUCUUCCAUUCAAGAUUUUGGAUUUUUAAGUUUCAUAUUAGUCAUAUUUAUAAUGGUUCCGAACCAUUGUCUAAAAUUUUCUACCCGAUGUGGGACGUUAUAUAAAUAUGUUUUUUCUUUUAUCGAUUAAGUAAUAUACGUCCGUUUUCAAAAAAUCAAAUUGCUACAUAUGCAAAAAAAAUUUGUAUUUUUAUUAUACUUAUGUUUUACGUAAUAAUGUAAAUUUUAAAACAAAUAAGAUCAUAUAAGGAUAUUGGAGAAAUAUUCAAUUUAUUAAGGAGACAUUUUAGGAAAUUUUGUUAAAUGUAAUAAAUAUUAGUUUAUAAUUUUGCAAUUCUGGUGUAAUUUAAUUACAAAUUUUAUCUUAAAAGCUUGUUAUUUAUUUAAAUGGGAAAGAUUUAUUAUGCAAAUAAUACAAAAUAAAAGGUUAUUUUACAAAAGGUACUUCAAAAAUGUUAAUAUAGAAUCAUAGAUAUAAUAAGAUCAGCCUAUUACCCGAUAACAAUACUUGAAAAAAAAAAAAAAAAAAAAAAACUAAACAGGGUUGACCAAAAAAAAAACAAAAAAAAGACGGGCUAUUUAGUUUAAACGUCUGUGAAUGUAACGAGCUUUAGAGAAACACUUACAAGAAAGAAAAAAAAAAUCCUUCUGGUUCUUCCUCUUCCUCGAUUCGUUUCUUCCACAGUUCAUUAGGGUUUCAAUCUCUCUGCUCCUUAUCACCACCAUCACCUUCGUCUCUCUGUAUCUUCCGGCGGCUCCUUUCUUUACUUCCCUCAGGUAAACUCUGUUUUUACUCUUUCACUAUCUUCUUCUCUCUCCCUCUUGCGGGUUUCGGUGAAGCGGGAGAUUCUUAAAGUCAAUCCAAUGUAAGCACGAUGAAGGAUUGGUUGUUGUUAUUUGUCAAGGUUUACUUCAAGCGUUGUGAAGAGUAUGAGCGUCGUCUCGUUAAGAUCAAGGAGAUAUUUUGGCCUUUCCAGCUUUCGAUUCGAUUUCUCUGUUUUCGGCUUGUGUUUUAGUGAUUCCUCGUUUGAAUUUUAUCUUGGCUUUUCAAUCUCCUCACAUAAUCGAUUCCUCUUAGAAAAUUUUGUUGUUUUGGUUUGUUUCGAUCUUAUCUUCUUGGUUUCAUUUACAGUGAACACAAUUUAGAUAUAGUGCUUCUUCUUGUGUGAAUUCUUAGUUUAAACGAUAUGGCAUAUAGCUUUAGUUUUGACUGCUGUUUGAAUAAGUAGGAUUGUGCUCCAUUAAAAUAGAAUAGUUUUACUACCAUUCUUUUGUAUAGAUUUGAGCUAGAAAUAUUCCCCAGUGAUCUUGACUUUUGUUUUGUGCUUGCUUAUGAGUUACUGUAUUUUGGUUCUUGUACCUAAUUUUUUCUGUUCUCUCUUCGUGGAUUCAAUUGUGAACUAACUGAAUAAUUGCUCGUCUAUAGUGGCCUUACUUAACACUGUGAAUCUGAUGUUGUUUUAGUGAAUUUGGAUCUUUUAUGACAUAAUUGUUCAGUAUUCAUCUUCUAAUCAUUAUUCCGGACCAUGUUUUCAUCUUUAUUGGUAUAUUAAUGUUGUUAUAUACAUCUUUAGUUUAAACGGGUACAAAACAUUUUCUGUUUCAUGGGCAGGGUCUAAAUGGGCAGGGUGCGGCCAUUUUGACAUCACUACAAAGGCUUAAAUAUAUCUCUCUCUCCCAUCGCUGGAAAUCGGCUUGAUUCCUCCGUCACCACCUUGCCACGCCGGAGAUUUGGUCGCAAUGUUGUCGUUCAAUCUAUCUCAUCCUCUCUAUUUGAGAACCCGCCAUCUCAAGCUUUUAUCUUGUUACACAGAUUCGUCUUCUCCUUCAAUCGCUCGAAAGGUUUACUCCAAAAUUUGUAUUUGAGUUCUUAAUUUUGCAUUGCUUUCACUUCAUAUCUUGAAUUUGGUAAUCUAAUAUUGUACAGUUGAUCAAGGACUCGAAGCUAUCAAGAGUUUUCAGUAGAAAGCUACAAAUUGUAGACUAUGCUUCAUUAGUGCAAACCUUAAGCCAGAAAAGAUUGCCUAAAGUAGCUUAUGAGAUUUUCAUCCAAACGAAAUCAGAUAACCUGUUGCCAAAUUACAGAACGCUUUGUGCUCUUAUGCUUUGCUUUGCUGAAAAUGGGUUUGUUCUUCGUGCACGUACGAUUUGGGAUGAGAUUUUAAACAGUUCUUUCGUGCUUGAUCUUGUUGUCAUAUCAAAGCUCAUGUCUGCUUAUGAAAAGAUUGGUUGUUUUGAUGAAAUUUUCGUGAUCACCAAGGAUGUAAGUGUGAGGCAUUCGAAGCUGCUUCGGGUUGUAUGUUCACUUGCUAUAUCUUGUUUUGGAAAGAAUGGUCAGUUGCAAUUGAUGGAGGGUGUUAUAGAGGAAGUUGAUUCUAAGGGAAUGUCGUUAGAUUCUGGCACGUCUAAUGCGAUUGUUAGAUACUAUAGUGUUUUCGGUACUUUAAAAAAGAUAGAGCAGGCAUAUGGCAGGCUUUGGAAGUUUGGAAUUGUGAUAGAGGAAGAAGAGAUAAGGGCUGUGUUGCUAGCAUAUUUAAAAGAAAGAAAGUUUUAUCGGCUACGUGAGUUUUUGUCAGAUGUUGGUCUCGGUAGAAGAAAUCUAGGGAAUUUGUUAUGGAACUCUGUAUUACUUUCAUAUGCAGCUGACUUUAAGAUGAAAAGCUUGCAGAGAGAGUUUGUUGGAAUGCUUGAUGCGGGUUUCUCUCCUGACCUUACCACCUUUAACAUUCGAGCCCUUGCGUUUUCUAGAAUGGCUCUCUUUUGGGAUCUACAUCUCACUCUUGAACAUAUGAGACAUUUAAACAUUGUUCCAGAUCUUGUGACUUUCGGAUGUGUGGUCGAUGCAUACAUGGACAGGCGACUAGCAAGAAAUUUGGAAUUUUUUUACAACCAAAUGAACUUUGACGAUUCUCCUAUUGUCUUAACUGAUCCACUUGCAUAUGAAGUACUGGGGAAAGGCGAUUUUCAUCUUAGCUCAGAAGCUGUUUUGGAGUUUAGUCCGCGGAAAAACUGGACGUAUAGAAAGCUACUCGGAGUUUACUUCAAGAAAAAGUUGCGGAGAGACCAGAUUUUCUGGAAUUACUAGUCACCUACCACCUCUUUGCUGCAAAAACGUCAUGCUUUGCUUAUUACAAUCCGGAUGGUUUGAAACAUUGAGGUUGGAGAGCCUUCUUGCAACUAUAUUUACAUUUUUAUCAUAUAUGCAUGUAUUUACAAUGUUGUUCUGUCAAAUAGAUCGGUAUAUUAGAUUAUAUUACAAAGUAUAUUUUUUUUGUGCGAACAUAUUACAUAGUAUAUGUGUUCAUUCAUUAUUGUUGAAAUGCAUACUUUGCAUAGUGACCUCCUUUUUUCAUCUUCUUUUAAUUGAUCGAUCAUUUCUAUGAUGUAUUCAAUGGUUUUUGUAUUCUUUUUGUUUCCUUGGAGAAAGAUUUUACGUAAAACUAAGAUAUUGUGAUUGUUAAAAAACGCUUAAGUGAAGUAAUCAAUAUAAAUUAUAAUAUACUGUAUUGGUUUUAUAUAAAAGUUUUUUUUCACUAUUGAGUUUAUUCAAGAUUGAAACCAGUACAUAUUACACAAAGCCAACAAAGUCCAAGACAAGACUUUCUGGAAACAAAGUCGGCAAGGGUCGAAAGCCCUCCAGAGAUAAAGCCGGCAAAUUUAAAGGAAACUCCCGGAGCCAAAAGCCCGAUUAACGGGAUACAAGAUCAAGUUGAUAAAAGACAUAAAACUAUAAAUAUUAUCAUCAUGCUUCUUUCUUCUUCAAUUAACCAGUAUUUCUAAAAUUGGAAGCUGAUUCCGACACCUCCAGAAAGCGGUCAGAAUUGAACUUCUGGUCUUAUAGUCCCCACUUCAUUUUUGGAGACUUCGAAAAUUAGAGAUCUUGAUCUACCUAAGAACGGCAAUUUACUACUAUUCAUCUUUUCUGCUCACUUUAUAUUAGCUAGUAUAGCUUUUUAAAUAUAAUUUUAUGAAAAAACUUUUGAGUAUCUAAACUUAAUAAAUUCUAUUUUGUACAACUACUACCUCUCAUUGUUAUAUAAUAUAUGAUCAUUAACAAUAUAAUUUAGCACUUUUCACUUUUUCGAAUCUAAUCACAACCAUAGUUUUAUUUCGGAAAAUUGUUUGCCAGCUACACAGACAAUUCACCAACACAUACGCACACAUGCAAACAAUUUUAAUGUUUGGCUAACUACAUAGACUAUCGACAUCACAUGAGCACAUAUCUGAACAAACAUUGGUUAUGUACGCAGCACCAUAACCAUAACUUCCAGUACCGUCCCGUUUUAAGGAACGACGAAAUCCGGUGACGUCCUUUAAUUCUGAUUAUGACCCGAUUAAGAUUUUAACCCACAAUUUUUUUAAACCGGACCAGAUUGAAUUAAGCCCAAACCGGUCCAAUUGAAAUUGCAACAUAACAAACCUAGUCUCCUCCUCUUCCUUAGUCAUUCAGGAUUUGCAAAGAAACACAAAAAAUAUCUUUCUAAUUUCUUGACGAAGAAGAACAAAUCUUCAAAAAUCUACUCUCAUUGACUGAAGCAAACGUGAAUCUCGUUACGAUGAGGUAAGUUCUCUCGUUUUAACUUGAUUUGAAUGUGAAUCGGAGAUCGAUUGUUUUCUGGGUUUGAAGGGGUUUCUGGGUUUGAAAAGGUUUCUGAGUUUAAAAGAGUUUAUCGAUUUCUUCUAAGUUUUUUUCUGGGUUUAUGAACUUUAUAUAAGAAAGUGAAAGUGGUGUCGAUUUCGAUAGUUGCUUAGUUUGAAAAAACGAUUUGUCUUUUGUUUCUUGUCGAUUUAUGUCGGGUUUUUGUCGGGUUUUUUUUUAUCAUUGUUUAAGACGACCAGUUGACUAAUGUUGAUAAAUUUUUCGUUUUUUUUAUUGUGUAGUAACGAGUCACUUGUUACAGUAAGUUGCCAUCAUUCUGGGCAUUUUAAAACGACAAAUGGUGUCUUGGAUUACGUUGAUGGAGUGCUUGAUGUUGUUGAAGUAGAUCGUGAUAUUAUAUUUGCAGAAGUGAUAUUGAAGUUGCUUGAUCUGGGAGAAUGUGGUAGAAGCUGCCAUUUGAAGACUUAGAAGAUAAACAUCCUCUUUGGGAAAAUGUGGAUGCAAAUAAAAAGAAGAUGCAAGCAGCAGGUCGUUGGAUGAGAAAGUUGGAUGUGUAUGUUGAGAAACCAAUAAUUGAGGAGCUACAGAUAGUGCCAGAGAUAGCUACAGCAGUUGAGAAUCCAAGUGAUGGAGAGAGUGACCCAGAGUAUGAACCCGAAGCGGAUAUAGAGGUGUCUGAUGAUGAUGAUUCUAAUGAUGAAGAAGCUGGUUUGUCUGACAAUGCAGAAUCAGCUGAUGAUGAUGAUGAUGAUGAGGUUGUUGAAGCGGAUUUAGAAGUUUUCAAUCAUGAGAGUUAUGAAGAACAGAUUUCAGAUGAAGAUGAAGUCUACCCUGCUACUGAUGCUUCUUCUGGUGAUGAAGAAGAACAAGCUGAGAGGUUGGUAAGAAGGAAUUUACCUGAUGGUGUGUUCAGCCUGAAACAAAUAUUUUCAAGUGGUCAAGAGUUUAAACAGAAUGUGAUUAGAUAUAUAUUGAAGACAAGGUGUAAUGUGGUGUAUGAUAGGUGGGAAAAAGAAAGACUUGAUGCUAGUUAAACCCAAAUAUUUUCAAGUUAAACCCACAUUUUGUUCCACAAAACCCAGAAACCCAGAAAUAAUAGAGAUUUCGAUUUCUGUUUCACAUAUUUACUAUCAAGAUUUCGAUUUCACAUAUUAUUCAACUCAAAAAGAUAUAUCUUACCUUGUAUCGUGAUGAGAUUCGAAUUCCUCUUAAGUAAAAUGGGAUUUUUUUUUUGCUUUACAAAUCGUGAAAGAACGAGGAAGUAAAAGAGUGUUUGUCAUGUAGACAUUUUAAUUGAACCGGGUUUGAGACAUUACAAUUUUGGUUCCGUUAAAAAUUUUAAUAUCGCCGGUCAAAUUAUUAAUUGGGUCAUAAUCGGGAUUAAAAGCCGUCACCGGAUUCCGUCGUUCUUUAAAACGGACGGGUGUCGGAAGAUAUGGUUAUGGUGCUGCGUACAUAACCAAUGUUUGUUCAGAUAUGUGCUCAUGUGAUGUCGAUAGUCUAUGUAGUUAGCCAAACAUUAAAAUUGUUUGCAUGUGUGCGUAUGUGUUGGUGAAUUGUCUGUGUAGCUGGCAAACAAUUUUCCUUUUAUUUCAGCCACUCUCAACCAUUUCUACAAUUAUAUACUUUUUAAUAAAAAAACUCACGUUUUUCCCACAUUAGUAUUAAUAUAAAUAUAUGAAUUUAUGGUUUCACAAUUUUUUUAGAUAUAUCAUUUUUCUAUCGUUUUGCAAGCACUCAUUUUUCAUCAUCUUUUAUCCGCACAACCACAUCUACCAUUCAAGAUUCUUCAUUGUAGGAUAUUUAUACUGAAUUAUGAACUAUAAUUUGCCAAAACAAUAUUAAAAAUAAAAUAAAAACAUAGGAAGAUAAACUAUAAACUUUACAUAUAUUUUUUUCUUUUCUAAAAUAUAUAUUUUGAUAAUGCGGAUGUAUUCAAUAUUCUGUUCGUUCAAUAUUUUGUUACAAAAUUUUGUACAUUCAAUAUCUAAAACUCUUCAUAAAAUAAUUAAAAUUUUAUAAUUUUCUAAUCUAUUUCAUGAAAAAUGUUACUUCAUACUGGUGCACAAUCUUAAUAAAUUUAGUGACACUAAUAUGGAUUACGUUAUGUAUUCAAAUUCUAACAAAUGAUUGAAGAUGAAAUAUCAAAAAUUUAAUUAAUAAUGAUAUUAUUUUGACAAAACAAGUUUCCAUUUCUCGUUUCUUUCAUAUAUAGAUGACUAUUAUAAUUGAAGAUAAAUUAUUAACAAAUUUUAAUUUAUAAUCAGUAAUAUGGUUAUUAUGGUCAAAGGGAGAUAAUAUGAUAGAUAUUUUCAUAUAUAUUUUUGUAUAUCUAUCAAUUAAUUUUAGAAACUAAGAACUUUACAAAAUUUUAGAUUUAAGGGACAAUUUUAAAAAUACUCCUUUUGGGGAAUAUAUUUUUAAAAAUACCCCACAAGGGAGAUCAUUUUUAAAAAUACCCCUAUUUUUGGGAAAAAAACAAAUAUACCCUUAAUGAUUUAACCUAAUUGCAAAAACUAUUUUCUCCUUCUCCAUCUUCUCUCUCGAUUCAUUCUCUCAGCAUCUCUUCCCUCUACAUAAUUUCUCUCUCCGGAUCUUUUCUCUCUCAAUCUGCUCUCUCUCCAUCAUCUCUCUCUCGAUCUGCUCUAUCUCUAUCAUCUCUCUCUCGAUCUGCUCUAUCUCUAUCAUCUCUCUCUCCAUCUGCUCUCUAUCUCUAUCAUCUCUCUCUCGAUCUGCUCUCUCUCUCCAUCAUCUCUCUCUCUCUCUCUCUCUCUCUCUCUCUCUCUCUCUCUCUCUCUCUCUCUAGCGUCGUUGUCGGUAGUUAUGGAUUUUUGAAUAUAUUGUUCAGGUUUUUGUUAAUUUGUAAAAUCUAUAUAAAUUUUGGAUAAAAUUGAAUAGAAUGCUAGUAGUUAGCCCUGAUACGGAGCCGGAUAUCCGGCAAUAAUCAUAGUAUUCGGAUCCGGAUCCGGCCGAAUUCCCAAUAUCACUAUCCGUAUCCGGCUCCAAAACCUCGGAUAUCCGAGAUCCGGAUAACCAAAAAAACACCCGAAUAUAUGCGGAUAUGCGGACAUCCGGAUCCAAUCUCAACAACAGUUAGAUCUCUUUUACUGUGACGGUUGACCCAAGCUUUGCCAAAGUAGCCAAGCUCCGCCGUAAUUAAAACUCCACCGUCAUCUUCGCCAUGAAAAAAGCUAUUAGGAAGCCAAAACCCCACGAUAUCUUAACGAGUUCAACAACCAAAUUUCUCCACACAAAAAAAACAUAUCCACCAUGUUUACUUUUACAUAUCGCCUUCAUCACCGAAAUCGUCUUGAACUCACACCAAGUCCAUUAAUUUGUCACCAAACACCAAUAGAUCUAAAUCGAAGAUGAAGGAUGAAGAAACGUUGAUUUGAGAAAAAGAUGGAGAGCCUCAAAAAGUCAAAAAGUGAUUUCACACUUCUCUCGUAAAUUUGGAGAGAGAAACUGAAGUUAAUUGAGCUUUUUUAUUUUUUUGGUCUUAUAAUUCAAUUGGGCUUUUUAAGUGGUUUAGUAACAAAUUAAACACAAUUUAAUUAUAAAACCGGAUCCGGAUAUCCAGUUUUGAAAUUUCUUAGUAUCCGGAUCCGGACGGAUAUGUAAAUCAACUAUCCGGAUCCGGCUCUGCCCGUCCUGGAUAUCUGGUUUUUCGGAUCAAAUUGAGACGGAUACCGGAUGUCGGAUAAUAAGUCUCAGAGCUACUAGUAGUUAUAGAUUCAUUAGGGUAUAGUGAUUUUCAAGUCUUUGUUAAUUAGGGUAUAGUCUGAAAUGUAGAUUUGUUUCAUAAUCUUUAGUGUACCAAACAAAUUUUUUUUUUUGUUGUUGCUUGAUUACAUUAUGUUUUGUUUUGCUAAAUUAAUGUUAAUGAGCUUAUUUUGGGGUUGUGAAGGAUUGAAUUAAUGUGACUUGCCACUGAAAUAAAGAAUGUUCAUCGUUCUCCAAAAUUUUUGAAAGGGUUUCAAAUAAUUUUACAGGCCUUUUAAAAAACUUUUAAAAAGGUUUUAAAAAGCUUUUGAAAGGGUUUUAAAAUGGAUUUAAAAGGGUUUUAAAAGUAAUUAUAAAGGGUUGUAUAUAUAUCUGGUUGUUUUUUUUUGUGACAUUAUGAGAAAGUGUAUCAAACAAUUUGGAGUUUGUAGUUUGAUGUUGAUGACUGUAAAUCUUUCACAAGGAUUUUAUAUACCCUUGUUUGGUUCCAGUUUUGAGGUGGGCGAUUUGAGGUGUGAGAAUUGUAGCUGUCGAGGUUGUUUCUUCACAAGGUUUCAGCUGGAAAAAUAGUUAUUGGUGGUGAUUGCUUGCAUUUGUAAAAGGUUGUGGUGUGGAGCUGCAGUGGUGCUUGUACCCAUCCACGUUUUUGGCUUUACGAUUAUAUAGUUAUCCUCUUUUUUUAUUUCUAUGUAGAUAUAUAUGUAUGUGGUUAAGAUCUUGGUAAAUAAUAUUAUAAUUAUGAUGCUACACAUAAAAUACAAGUGGAGAAAUUUGAUUUUUUUAUGCUACAGUUUUGUGGGUGGUGAAUGGACAUGUGAAAUGAGACUUGCGGAAGAUUUUCAAGUGGAGGAGAAGAAAUGGAGCUAAGCAAUAGAUUACUGCCUUGUCAUGGUUCCAGUUUUGACUUGUGGAGUAAUGCCUUGUUUGAGUAUUACGUAACCAUUAAUCUACUAAUGUAAAUUAGUUAGUGCUGGAACCUUUUGAUCAGAGCUCUCACAAGAGCAAUAUGUUGGCUUACUUUUCAUAACAUUGGGUUUUUCAAACUCGUAAACAAGAAUUUCCCAAGAAAGAAAAUUCUAAUCGCCUAAUACAAUCAAUUCUUAUAUACAAAAAGCUAUUCACUCUAUGUAUUUACUUCUCCUUAUUCACGUGCUAUUCCUUCAUUUUGUAUCAUAUAAAACCUUAUAAAAACCAUAUAAAACCUUUAUAAAAACAUUUCAAACGUUUUAAAAUCAUUUUAUAACCUUUGAAAUUCCAUAUAAAAUCUUUGUAGACAUUUUAAACCUUAAAUUCUUAAGACUAGAAGUAUUUAAAAGGGUUUAUACAAUGAUUGAUAAUUCAUAAGGUUUUACAAUUCUUUUAUAAAGAGUUUAUAAGGUUUUUAUAAGAGUUUUAAAAGGUUUUUAUAACGAUUUUAUAAGGGUUUUAAAAGGUUUUUGAAAACUAUCUGUUUACAUAGUAUUUAAAAGAUUUUGUAAGGUUUUAAAAGGUUUCUAAAAACUAUUUAAGGGUUAUAUGGUUUUUAAGAGGUUUUUAAAAAGUAUUUAAAAGGUUUUAUAAGGUUUUUAUAAAAGGUUUCUAAAAACUAUUUAAGGGUUAUAAGGUUUUUAACAGGUAUUUAAAAAGUAUUUAAAAUGUUUUAUAAGGUUUUUAUAAAGCUUUGAUGAGGUUUUUAUAAAGCUUUUAUAAGGUUUUUAAAAGGUUUUUAAAAAGUAUUUAAAAGGUUUUUCAAAAGUAUUUAAAAGGUUUUAAAACAUAUUUAAAAGGUUUUUAAAAAGUAAUAAAAGGUUUUACAAAGUAUUUAAAAGGUUUUUAAAUGUAAAUUAAGAUUUUAAAGCUAUUUAAAACGUUUUACAUGGCUUUUAUAAGUUUUUAAAAGUAUUUAAAAGGUUUUGAAAAAUAUUUAAAAGGUUUUGAAAGUACUUAAAAGGUUGUACAACGUAUUUAAAUUGAUUUACAAAGUGUUUAAAUGUAUAUUAAAGUUUUUAUAAGUAUUUACAAGGCUUUUAUAAAGUUUCUAUAAGGUUUAAUAAAAUAAAUUCUUUUAAAAAAUUUAAGAAACCUUUUAAAAACUUUAUAAAAGCCUUAUUAAAACCUUAUAAAAACAUGAAUUAACGGUGUAGUAACUUUAAGCUCUGAUAUAUGUAGACACUGUUAUUUUUCUAAAAUACAACAGGCGGUUACGUUACAUUAGUUACUAUAUUAUGAUCAAUACACACACAAAGACUUGGUCUUGCUUUUUAAAUAUGGAUGAAUAUUAUAAUCCUGAACUUCAGUCCUUCUACAAACUCUCACAUGACUGCAGCUCUUGGAUCAUCAUUGUUUGGUCUUUUCACACAUAGCAUUUUCAAACAAGCUCCUAAUUUUGUUGCACGCCGUAUCCCACCUUCAACAAUACCAAAUUGAACCACAUCAUUAAACAACAUUCAUGAGUUGGAUCCAACAUUAUUCAAAAGCGAAUGGAUUUGUGUUCUUUGCAAUUACAACUUUAAUUUAAUUUUAACAACGAAUGCAUUACCUCAAUGCACGUCAAGAUCUUGACUGUUACAAUCCAUCAUAUAUCCACCACGAAACAAACUCAUAUAAGUUACAAAAGAGAAACAACAUAUAACAAGUUAAGGGGGGCAGUAGAUGAUGAUGAGUCUAAGGAGAGGACAGCACCAGACCACUUAAUCUUGGCCGAAAGCUCCCAUUCGUCGCCUUCCAAGCGUGUCGCAAUGGAAAACUCAGCAUACCAAAGCUCCAAAAUCUGAUUAGGACCUUAGGGUCAUGCUUCCCAGAAGAUGGCCAUCCUCUCAUGAGUGUUGCUACUGCAGCUCUUCCAAACCCUUGACUUCCUAGUAAUAUACAAUAUACAAAGUCCCACAUGAACAUAACUAUAUAUCUCCCUUACAGCCCAAACAUGAUGAUAACACGUUCUCUAUGUUUGAUUGCCAAAGUUCAGCUCACUAACUACUAAACUCUAACCAAAUUAUGACGUUUAAGGCUUAUAUUAUGAGUGUUCCAUCACUGAUUAUUUAAAUAAACUAAAUAUUUGGCUGUCUGAAUACGAUUGUAUGAUAAAAAUUCAACAUGUUUUUUAUAUAUGUUGCAAUUUGAAUUUUUUUAAACGGAUAUAUAUUACUCAGUUGACAAAAAAAACUGUAUAUACAGUGUCCUACAUCGGUCAAAAAAGUUUUUUUGAUAAUAGUUCAUAUCAUUAUAAAUAAGACGAAUGAGCAGUAGGCUUGAUUUAUUAGGUAUCCAAAUUAAAAACUUUUAUUUCAUAUAAUCCGGUUUUAAGUUUGAGUAAAUUAAAACUUUUAAAUUUUUUAAAAUAUUAUAAUAGAUAAAAAUUUAAAAUGUUUCAAUAUUAUAAAUAUUAAAAAAUUUAAAAUUUAUUAAAGUUUCAAAUAUAAUUUUUAAUCUUUAUAAAAUUAAAAUAGCAUAAUAUUGAAACUUUUAAAAGCUUCAUAUAGUAUAAAUAUUAAAAAAAUAAAAUGAUUCAGAUAUUAUAAUUAUAUAAAAUAAUUGAUAAUUUUGCCACGGGUGAGAACAUAUAUUAAAUCAUUGAUAAUUGGGGGAUUUGCACAACUAAUCUUUUUAUGAUACCCUUUUCUACAAGUACCCUCUCCAGGUGUUCAUUUUCAAAAAUACUCUCUUCAAUGUACAAAAUGACUUACCCUCCUUUAUUAUAACCCAUGAUGAAGAAAAGAAUAUUCUUUCCAACAAAAAGAAUAUUCCUUCCGAAAAAUUUCCCGCCAAAAAUUUUCCCGCUAAAAAUUUCCGACAAAAAUUUUCCCGCCAAAUUUUUUCCGCAAUUCCUUUAAAAAACUUUGUCAAUAUUUUUAAAUCCCUUAAAAAAUCCUUUAAAACCCUUGUAAAUCUUUUAAAAGUCAUCCAAAACCUUUCAAAACUUGAGUAAACCUUUUAAAACCAUUGUAAAUCAUUUUAUAACAUUUAUAAACACUUGUAAAUCCCUUUAAACCCCUUAUAACCGUGAUAAAUCAUUUAAUAAAAACUUUUGUAAACUUCUAAAACCUUUAAAACCCCUUGUUAAUCCUUAAAAACCAUUUUAAAGAACUUGUAAUACCUUUAAAAACUUUUGUAAACCCUUCAAAAACCUUUUUAAACUUCUAAAACCCUUUAAAACUUCUUGUAAAUCCUUUAAAACUAUUUUUAAAUCUUUGUAUGCCUUUAAAUACACUUUUAAAUCCUUUUAAAAACACUUGUAAAUCCUUUUCAAAAACCUUUAAAAAUCCUUGUAAAUCUUUUUAAAACUGUUAUAAACUUAAAAAAAAAUUAAAAACAAUUGUAAAUCAUUUAAAAACCAUUUAAAAACCUUUGUAAGCUUCUAAAACCCUUUAAAAACCAUUACAAAUCUUUUAAAAACCAUUUAAAAACUCUUGUAAAUCCCUUUAAAAACCCUUUAAAAAAAUUUGGCGGGAAAAUUUUUGAAAAAAUAUUUUUUUGUGGGAAAAUAUUUGCGGAAAUGUUUUUGGCGGGAAAAUUUGGCGGAAAGUUUUUGGCGGGAAAUUUUUGGGGAAAAUUUUUUUGGAAGAAAUAUUCCUUCCUUUGGGAAUGAAUAUUCUUUCAAAUAGGGGUAAAAUAACCAAAUUCCUUGGAUGAUUCGAUUCCCCAAGGGUAACGGUGAGUGUCUUUUGUUCAACCCUGAAAAAAAAGACAAGAUGUACAAAAUACCAAAUCUCGGCAACGAUUUCACCAAGAACGUUUGUGUGGCGACUUAUAAAAGCUGGCUUCUGAUGCAACCAAAAUACAAACACAUAGAUGAAGACUGUAGAUUGAAUCUAUAUAUUCUAGAUCUUUUAACCCGCGAGAGAAUCAAUCUACCGACCUUCGUAUCAGGGUGUGGACUCAUAUGUUCAAUACUUUGGAUCGAUGAGAAAACCAAAGAUCACCUAGUUAUUGGAAUGUCCGAAGAAGAUCAUGCCAUUUCUUUCAAGAGAGGAGACAAGUCGUGGAAAAAAAAUCCCAACCUUGUCAGGUAUCGAAUGUUUUAGCAUGGUUUUCAAGGAUCAGAAGCUCUAUUGUCUCAACUAUGCUAAACUCAAGGUCUUCGAUUUUUCUGGAUAUACUCCGCUCAGAGUUUUCAAAACCAGCGUAAGUGACUUCUUACAACCACUUAGACCUUUUGGCAUGAGGAUGCCUGGAACUUCAUGGAAGGACAACGUGGUUCACUCAAAGAAUAAAGUAGUUGUCACGCUAGCCAGAGAUGUCUUAAUCGUUAAGUGUCGUCGUCCGAAUGUGUCCAAAAUAUGGGAGUUUAAAAUCUACAAGAUGGUUGGGAACAACCAGUGGGAGGAAAUUUAUUCUUUGGGAGGCGAGACCAUUCUUUUGGAUUUGGGUAUCACACUGCUCGCCAAGGACAUGCAGGGAAUCCAGAAGAAUUCCAUCUACUUCUCCAUGGAUACUAUCCUUUUCGAAGAUCAAUAUGACAAAACCGAAAUCUUCAUAUUUGUAACAACCCAUCCCGGUGGGAACCCUUGCCACAUGGCACACCCCGCCACAUGGCAGCUACAAGCGCUGCAGCGCAUCGACCCUAACCUCUCUCCUGUGGACCCAAUUGGUAACAGCUUGUCCGAUGGGAAGGUUGUUAAAAGGUGAGGACCUGGGUUCGAGGAACGCCAGGCGCACCAAUAACCUACCUGGUGGGUCAGGAGUGUAUGUGAGCCAGGAGAGUGCCUACAUGCUCAGAUUGGGCCCACAGGAGAGAGGUUAGGGUCGAUGCGCUGCAGCGCUGUAGGGAUGCCAUGUGGCGGGGUGUGCCAUGUGGUGGAAUCCACUGGACGGGUUGUUACAAUAUUCAACCUCUAUUCAAAACAAGUUCAACUACCUCACCGUUCUGUUUGCUCUUCCUUUCCCUGCUCUAGAUCCCGAUGGUUCUUGCCAUGUUUCAAACAAGAAUGAAUAAUUCUACUUAAUAUGUAUAUUAAUUGUUGCAACAUUUGGUAUUAUUUCCUUUUCUCUUUUUGUGAGGGUUUUGGACUCAUUUGCUAAGACUUGUUUAGCCCAAAACAGGACUUCAUCAACAUAAUAAAUUAAUAGCUAUUACAUUUUUUAAAUAUCUAAGUUUGAUAUUCAUAUCUCAUCAAGCAUAAUGCGGUUGUCAAGGUGGACAACGUGUGCUUUACAAACAAAGCAAUUUGAAUAUCAAUGUUUUAGGCUCCCACAAAUUUUUCUGUUGUGUAAAAUUGACUCUAACUAAGAAUUUUACGCUAAUUUGACAACAAUAUUGGUAGAAAAUAACAUCAUGAGUGUAUAAAGUGCGAGAGUUUCUUAGUAUAAUUUUAAAAUGAUUUCAGAUUCUAAGGUUAAGAGAAGGUCCCAUAAAAAAAAAGCUAGGCCACUUGCUUGUCAGCUCUUUUAGGUAAUUCCCUACUUCAAAUCGACCUGACACACGAAGAUUUGGUAGCAUCAAGUGAAUGACUUCAAACAAGACUAAUUUUGCAAGAAAAGGGAUCACGAAGGAGGAGAUAUGUAUGCUGAUUCCAUUCUCUGUCGAGAAAAAUGAUCUCAUCAACUACUUCAACGUUAUCAAAUCCCCGGAUGAACUUCAGAUUGUUUAUUGUUCCCUCUUUCUUCUCGGAAUAGAUUGACAUUCUAUAUUUUCAGAACCGGAUAAUAAUAAAACUCAAAGACUUGUAAUCAGAGUGAUCAAUGAAAUGUCGGUAGACAAAUCAAAUUUAUAAUUUCGACAUGACUAACUUCAUAAAUAAGUUUGGACACGUAGUACUCUAUCCAGCAAAAACCAGGCACUAAAAAAUUAGUUGAAUUUUAUACUAGUACGUACGUUAGAAAUUGAAGUGGUUGUAUUUCAUUAACAUACGAUCUUUACAAGUUACAAUCCAUAUUUAUUUUUGUACAAUAUUUCUUAUUAGCUACUGUUAGACUUAUUCUUCUUUAUGCUACUGCCGCAGUUACGAACCCUAUACAAGGUUUUUUUAUGUCUUCGCAAUCGAAGACCGUAUGAUACUUCGUGAUGAAAGGUAAACCGAGAAACCUACAUGCCAAUCCAUUUUAGAGACACAUGCAAAUACAAAAAGAUUAACGCAAACAAAAAAAACUUACCAGCGAGAACCACCUUCAGUAUCCUCCACAAAUCUAGUAAAGCACACGUCGUUGUCAAUUGCGAUGUACUAAAUGGCAUUAGAGUAAAGAAGAUACAUUAACAAAUGAACCAAUAACAAAGGAAAAAAAUUUAAAAAUAUAUAUCAUACAUCUUGUGGGGUGAGUGAAAAAGGCUUUUCCCAAUUGUAAAUAUUAUCACGGGUAAGGAACUAAUGGUGGAGCAUAGAACAAUUCCACCAUUAGCGAAUGCUCCAAUUGCUCUAUUUAUUUCCCUUGUACCCCGCUGAAUAUUAUAAACACAGAAAAAACAUAGUUUAUUUUGAAAUGAAUGAAAACUGAUGAUACAAGUUGACAACCUAUAUUCACUAUAAUUCAGUUUUCUUACCUCCGGACCUAUAAUAUCCGUCAUCCCCGAGUCGAUAAUUGCUGUACACUGUACUUUACAGUUUUUAACAUAAUUACCCCACCAUUUGAUGUCAACCAAAAAGAAAAUAUACAUUUUGUAUAAAAUCUUGUCCCUCAAUUUGGAUGCCACCAAACCGAACAUUAUCUUGCGAUAAAUCACCCUGUACUUGACCGUUAUGAUAUGUCAUUGUCACAGUUUUUCCUACACAGUUGAGAGAUUUAUCUAAGUUGAAUGUACAUAACAAAGUCAAAGAGACAAAAGAAAGGGAUAAAAUAUUACUGAUAGAUUUGAUGAUAUCUGAUUCCAAGGCAUCAAAAGUAGGAUGCCCUUUAAAAGGCCACCACGCUGAAGGGACCCAGAAAUUGAUGGAUCCUAGAUAAAAAAACUACCUUAAAUAAUUGGCCAGGAUUUCCAACAUUUAUAUGUCCAUAGAAGAUUACCUCACGGUAAUUUGUUAAACCCACAACUUUGGGUAUAGCGUUCAUUUGUUGUUUGAGGGUUUUAGUGACCGUAUGAUUACAUAAAACGAAGCCUUGGAACAAUGAUAGGAGAAUAAAAUAGAGAAAAUGCAUUUUUGUCGAGAAAAAACUCUUUAUAAUAGAAAUCGGUUACAAUAUAAAUUAUUGUGAUGAAAACAAAUAAAAGCGUGAUAUAUAUAUAGCGCAAUAUUAAUAUUAUUUAUAUAAUCAAAUGUAAACAACACAUGCCCUGUGUGUUGAGCAGAACCGGCGUUUAGGUGAGCAAGUAAAACAUGUGUGCUUGCGAACACUUUUAUAAUGUGUAAACUUUCGGCAUAUGUAUUACAAAAUUUGGUUUACUUCAGUUGGUAGCGUCCAUAAAAAUUCUACUUAUGGUAUAUUUUACACAUUUUUAAAACCUUUCCAAUACUUUUUUAGAUUAGAAUUAGACUAUUAAAAUCCACCGACCAAUAACACCUUAAGGUAUUCAAAUUGUUUUUGAGCUUGCGGCCUAUUUUGCUAACAAACCAUCCUUACCAUAAAAAGUAAUGAUUAACACAUUCACACAAUCUUUGAAGGCAAGAAUCACCACAAGAAAACAAGGUGAUAACCUACUAAUUUUCCUACCAAAACUAUGGUAGGAUACAGUUCCUACCAUAUACUUACAAGUUUUUUUUACGGAAAGCGCAUGUCGUAGGAAAUUGGAAGUAAAUUUCCUACGAAAAUAUUUUGUAAGCAAUUCGUAUGAAAUUUCCUUCAAAAAUCCUUCUCAAAUUAUAGUCGUAGGAGUUUUCGGAAGAACUUUGAAAGAAUUUGAUAGAAAAUUACGUGGUAAGAAUUCGGUAAGAAUGAUUUUGAAUGAAUAUCUUAGGAAAUUAGUAAGAAAUAUUUCCUACUAGAUGGGUGACCGCAACUUUUAACUAGAAAUCUAAAGGAUAUAGGUUUAUCAGGUUAUCCUAUAUCAUUAUAUCCAUCGUAUUUAACAUAACUAUCUAUACAUAGAUAAUGCUAUUUAAACAUGGUUAUGUUAGGUUUAUUCAAGGAGUAUUACAUAACACAUAGAUAAUGCUAAAUAGAAUAAUCCCCUAACAGGAUUUUUAUGUAAUACUCAUCACUACUUUAAUAUGAUCUUCGCAAAUUAUUGUAUUACAUAGAUAAUGCAAUAUUGAAAGAAUACUUACAUUGUGGUACGUUAUGGAAAUAGCUAAGCUAUUACGUAAUACAUCACUCACAUAUUAUGUAUUAUAGAUGAGUUUACCAAUGGAUUAUCUAUGUAUUUAUUCAGCUUAUAGAUUUAUAGAUGGAUUGUCUAUAGAUUUAUAGAUGUAUUGACGAUGGAUUUAUAGAUGUAGCAUAAUAUAAAUGUUACCACAGCCAAUAAACUCCUUGAUCUAAAUAUAAUACCAAAUUAUAAAUAACUAUAAUAUUUAUAGAUGUAAAUAAACUUACAUCGCUACGAAAUUGUCGACCUCGGGAAUCUUUGGAUUGAGUCUUAUUUGGGUACAAAUGGUGUUAGACACAAUUCUUUUUCCUAUAAUAAGAAUAACAAUCUUUAAAUAUAUAAAAUAACAAAUAUACUAAACUAUCUUAGAUAAAACAUGUUAACUAAAGAAUAAUCUCAUGAACAUGUACCUUGGAAAAUGUCUACCUCUCCCCAUCGAAUCACACAAAUCAGACUUUGGUUUCGUAAAGCUUUGUAGGCCUUAAAGAAGUUGACGGCGGAUGAUCCAGUCAACCCACAUCGUAAAAUGACUCCACUAUAUUGGCAAGAUCAAAAAUAAACAUUAAGUAUAUAUAACCAUACCAAAUAUAUUUGAAAUGAAAACGAACUAUAGUAAACAUUUGCAUAGUUAGAAACAAAUACCUAGUGUUUCGAAGAUCAAAACAAAUCUUAUGGUGUAUAGAAUAAUCUUUUUUUGUCAUCGGCCUCUUCGUCGACAUUUUGAUUACCAAUAUCCUCUUCUUCUUGGUCGUCAUCUUCAUUAGAUUCACUUGCAUUAUAUUCCUCAUCACCAUCUGUUUCUUCUUGUGUAUCAUUAUAACCAAGAUCAUCUUCCUAGCUAUCACCCUCAUCAUAUCAAUCAGUUUCAGUUUCUGAUUCAUCACUUUCAUGUUCUUCUUCUUCAGUAUUAUCACCGUCGCCGUAUCCAUCACUCCCAUAUUCAUCAUUUUCUGUAUCAAUUAUCUCAUAAAAACCUUCAUCUUCUUCAUCCUCUUAUUCGUCCUCUUGCUCAUAGUCCUCAUCCAUUGCAUCUCCUUCGUCGUCAAUAUCAUCAGUGUACAUACUAUCGUCGUCAGAAUCUUCGAUUUCAGAAUCAUAAAGACGACCACGUUGGAAGUGAAUCCCUCGUUGGACGGUGCAUCUCGGCAAAUAAACUUAAACAGGUGACGAACAUAAACGGAACUUGAUUUAGACACAGCUUGAACGCGAUUCUUCUGCUCAUUGUCGUUGUCUACAUGGUCCCAAGUAUCAAACUUUCCUACGUGUAUAACCUCUCCAAUGACAUCUAAAAUAAAUAAAAAAUAAUCAGUUUGAAUACAAAUCCUAAUCUAAACUAAUUUAGGAAGUAUACGCAAAUUAUAUUUUUAGUAAACCUUAAAACACAAUGUUUAAGUAACUUACCAACCAAGUAAUCAUCACAAUGAGAACCAUCCAAUAUAUGUUUAUAAUCCAUAAAAUCAAAAUACUCUCCACCUCCAACCAAUCAUGGCCUUCUUAAUCAUGGUUUGACACAUAAUAAUAACUUUGUAUCGAUGAGUAGUAGUUUUGCAAGACCCAUAUUGAUCCACGACUUUGAAAUUCUCGAUUUCAAGCCAAUCACCAACAAUAUACUUGGAAAUAAAUCUAUCAUAAAGAAUACCACGGAAAGAACAAUGGACUUUUUCACCCUACAAAAGUUGAUAUUAUGGUUAAGAAAGAUUAUAGUAUGUAAUCGUAAAAUUUAAGAAUUUUAAGUUUUACUAAAAUAAUUUUUAAAAACGCAUGUUACUUAGAAAACAUUCAAACCUGAAUAUCAACUAACACCAUCUCCAAACUUGGUCCAAGUUUUAAACAAUUCUCCUCCCAUAAGCAUAACACUUUCACCUGAAUUUUCCAGUCAUAUUUCGAAGGAUUCAAACGUGAUGCACCAUCAACAGGAUGAUUCUUCACCAUAAUGAAACCUGAAUAACCAUAGAAACAGAUUAGUUUAGCUAUUGAAACUAUGAAUAUAAAAAAAAUUAUUAAAAAGUUGAGUAAUGAAGGUAAAACCUAACCCUAAUAAAUCGUCCGAUGUAUGAAAGUUUGGACAAUGAAUGGUCAAAUAUAUAUACACAUAUACUCGUUAAAUUUGUAUAUAAUUAUCGUUAUGAAUAAUGUCCUUUAUUAAUAUGGACAUUAAUCUUUAACUUAUACAAAUCUUUUAUUUUUAUAAUCUGCUCGUCCUAUAUUUAUCAUUAUAAUUUUUAUAAUCUGCUCGUCUAUAUUUAUCAUUAUAAAUAUGUAAAAUUUAUAUUUAUCUUAGUCUAAACUUUUUAAAAACAAUUAAGAUAAUUUCAAACUGUGUAUAAAUAAAUAAGCAAAUAUAUAGUAUAUGUAAUACGUAUUAUUGUGAAAUUUCCUAUACUGAACCACUAAUUACUAACAUAUUUAUCGUUUUAAAUCAUUAUAUGUACAUAUAAAUUUCUGAUAUAUAUCGGAUAUAGAUUUUGUACAUAUUUACUAACUUGGAUGUAUACAAUUAAUAUAUAAAUAUUUUUUUUAUUUCUGGGGGUAAACUUAUGUAGGCUAAUCAAGAUAUUUAUCUCUAUCCUUAUCAUAUUUUGUAAACUAACCCUUAAUAUUUACAUUCCAUCGUCAAUAUUUUAUAAUUUUAAACCAGUGUUUAUUUAUUAAGCUACACACUUAUUGUCGGGAAAACGGGGAAAAUCAAUCCAAACUAUUUCUCGAAGGUAUUUUCAUACCCAAACUCACGUACUCUGAAUUUUACAACCCAAACCAGCUUUUAAUUCAAAUAUUCCACCUGAACCACAUCAAAUUUUGUCGAUUUCAAACUCGACGUUAACAGUAUCUCUGCCCAUCUUGAAGAUUUGGAAAAUCAAGCUUAAGCUUAUGUAAAAACCAAGAGAAAUUAAGCUUUGAAUUACCAUUAGACCAAAUAAUAUAUAAAAAAAGAUGAGGUAUUAAACAUCCAAAUAAAAAAUAGAUGGGGUAUUUUAAAUCUUUUUUCCCUUUACGCCCUUUAUUUUUUAACAGGCAAAACCAGCAUCCACCAACUUGUUUAGUUUAUUGUUUAUCAAUCUCUAUUUAUAAAUACCACUUCCUUGCAUCUCUUUCUCAUAUCUAAAUCAAAUAUUACAAAGUAUAUAUAAAAACUACUUUACAACAAAAAGGUUUUCUUGUGUUAUAAAUUGUAUUGCUUAGUUAGCUUUUUCAUUGCAUGUUAGUUAAGUUAAUCUCGUAAAAAAAAAAUGAUGACCGUUGUAAUAAUUAUUGGGAAAAAUGUCAGUUAAAUCACGAACUUUCAAAUUUUGGCCAUUUAAAUCACGAACUUUCUAUAUGGCCAUUUAAAACAUGAACGUUUCGUUAACUUAUUUUUUAAAACACCAUCUUUCGUUGACCAGGCCGAAAUGAACACCAUAUCCUCAAAUUCGUUGACAAAGCAGCUAACCAUCGUUAAUCAUAUUUGUUAGUGAGAAAAACGUCGUUUAAUUCUAAAACGAUAUCUCAAAAUCGUGAUUCUAACGUCAUAAUCCAAAAAUCAAAUCCCUACUUUCUCACUUUGUUUUAGCCUUAAACGACGUAGUCUCUUACUAAUAGAGAUGAAUUAGUGAUGGCUAAAUGUUUGUUAGUUGUUUUGUAACAAAUUUUUGGUUAUGAUGUACAAUUUGGCUUUGUUAACGAAAGAUGAUGGUUUAAAAACUAAGUUCACAAAAUAAUCAUGCUUUAAAUGGCCACAUAGAAAGUUCGUGAUUUAAAUGGCCAAAAUUUGAAAGUUCAUGAUUUAAAUGACAUUUUUCCCGUUCCUAAUUCUAGACACUUUCCCUUUUUCUAAUAUAAUCCUCUACUCUUAAUGAAUACCCAAGUUUUCCCUUACCAAACCGAUUCAAACCGAUUCAUCAAACCAAUUUUUAAUUAAAUUAAUUAUUAAAAAAAUCCAAAAUUGCUGCUGUCAAAACAAACAAAAAAAACUUCAAAAUCGGUUCCAUCGUCGCUUCUUCCUCCCCAGUCUUUCACCAUUAAAACUCAAGCUUAAAUCUUUAAAUCAUAUCUUUUCUUUUUCCUAUUACUUUUAGCUUAAAUCUCCUUUAAUUAGAUUUGAAACUUGUGUUGACAAUUAAUGGACAUUGACUUGAUAAUCAUCUAUUAUGGGUCGAUUAAGGUACUACUGGUAUUUUACUAUGUGCUAGUUUAGUUUUAGUUCUAUCCUUUUUAGAAAAAACAGAGACUAACCUUCCGAAAGCAUUAAAGAUAGUCUGAGAGAAACUUGGAUAGUUAGUUUCAGAACCAAGAUAAGUUUCAAGAUCAGUGUAUUUAAUUAAUAUAUAUGUACUUUAUGUUUUUGUAUAACUUGGUAAAACUCGGUCUUGUAAUGGUACAACUACGUAUGUCUUUGCUCGUAUUCAGUUUGUAAAAUGUUGUACAACUAACGGUACAACUACGACCCAUUUCUUAAAAAUUCAUAGGUACUUUAUAAAUAGAUUUUUUGGAAAAUGUUAAUAAUCUUUCAUAUUGACUUUAUUAAUUGAAAUUUGUGUGACAAAUCUUCUAAAAUAGCAUCAAAAGAAAAGAAAAAAAGAAGAAGAUAGUGUUCAUUAAAUUCAUUUGUAUACAAGAAAGACCUUAUAGUUUUAAGAUGACUAUCUUAUUGUUAACUCAAUUACAUUGCAAACACACACAAAAGUAAGGUUUUGAUUCAUAUUUUUGCAUAAAGAUAUGGGGAAUGUAAUAAAAAUAAGUAAAAUCUUCGGUCCAACUACAAAGGUUUUGUUUGAAUAAAAGUAUAACUGAUUAUACUUAAAAAUCUUAAAAAAUACAACUAUAUAAAAGAGAGUACAACUUGGAAACUAGGAACAACUAUGUUCAUUUCUGCGGUGCCAAGUGUCAUGUUUGGCGACUCCAUGUGUUUUAGUGCAGUUUAUACGAAAACCACAAUUUGAGAUCCGAUUUCAGAUCUUGUGAUUGUUUUUUUUUUUUUUUUCUGUAAACCACAAUUUUAUUAAUGAAAAAAAAACAUAAUUAGCCACCAUUACAGGAGAAAGACAGCAUAAGACCUGCUACAAAAUACACAUCACUAAAGGCUGAAGAGGCUGCAAACACAUAAGCAAAAUUCUUCCUGGCUCAACGGUGACUUCAAGUGACUUCCAAGGUUUUGUAAAGAGCUGAGAAUCCAACGACAAGUGCAAAACCAAAAUGUAUUCCUUCCACGCCAACAAGAGGGUGUUCUUCCGUAAAGAGGUAGUCUUCGCCAUGAUAUCUUCUGCUUCCCAUGUAAGGGUUCUAGAACGAUAAGCGAUAGAGCUCACCCGCAAGGGAACUUCAAGGAUUUUAGAAGAAAUCAUGUCCAAACAAGAUGCUACAUCGAGUCCACCAACACCAAUUCUAAAGAGGUGUUGGUGUGACGAAGGAAUUACUGAAAAUAUCUAUAUACGAUCAUACAAUCCAUAUUAAGUUGUACCAAGUUUUACGAAGUUGUAUUUUUUAGUUUUAAAAACUUUUAAGUUACAAAAUCAACAUAGUUAUACCAAGUUAUACAUAGUUAUAUACGGUUAAGAGAUUUAUUGUUGAAUCCCCAUUAGACGGCUUUGUUUCUUCAUAAUCAACUGGAAUUGGUGACUACUGUUCUUCUUCAUCGAAAACUUAUAUUGCAUCUGAAGGAUUGUGGUCUCCAAGUUCACUCGGGUUAUUUGUAAAAACCUAUAAACCAAUCAAUUUCCUCAUCAAAAUCUUACAAUCUACAUUUCGGUGUACCAAGUAUUACCAAGUUGUAUCUUUUGGUUUGAGUAUUUUUUUUUAAAAAACGGGAAUAAUUGAACCAAGUUGUACUUCGUUGUGCACGGUUUUGAGAACAAAAUUUCUUAAACUUAAAUCGAACAGAAGAAAUCGAUAUGAAGUUAUACAAAUUUGGAGUUGUUUAUAACUUUAUCCAUAUAUGAGGAAAAGACAAAUUUGGGUUUCUAUAUUGUGCGAAAGAGAAGAAGAUUCGAAAUCUAGAAAAUUCAAAAAAAAAAAAUUGUUAAUGGCUUAAGAUAAAUUCAACCCAGAAACAAUGGGGAAAAAGCUUUAAAAUACCUCAUUUAUUUUUUAUUUGGACGUUAAAUACCUGAUCUUUUUAGGUUAGAAAAAUAAUAUCCAAAAUAAUAAAAACGUGGAAUUUAAUACCUAAACUAUUAAAUAUUAACAUUUUCCUACCUACGAUCUGUCAACAAAAAAAUAUUCCAAUUUUACCCUUCUUCAUUUACAUUUAUUAUUAAUGCAUAAAUGACAUAUAAUUAAUUACAAUUUUAUUAGAAAACAAAUAUUUGCUAGUAAUAUUUCAUUGUAUCAUUAAUUUAUAGAUUUUAUUCAAAAUAUAUAUUUCAUUUUUCAUUUUUAUCCAAACAAUAUUAAGUGAUUCAAUGAAAGGUUUAUUUUAAGUUAUAUGUUUCAUAUCCAAAAUAUAUAUUUCAUUUUGUAUCCAAAUAUAUUUUAUUAAGAAAUCUAAUGAAAGAUAUAUAUAUAUAUAUACAUAUACAUAUAUAUUGAAUUAUACAUUUCAUUUCCAAAAAUGAUAUGUAUAUUUCAUAUUUCAUUUUUAUCUAAAACUUUUUAAGAGAUCCAAUGAAAGAUAUAUUUUGAAUUGUAUAUUUUAUAUCCAAAAAUUGUAUUAUAUUUUUAUCCAAAACUUUUAAGAGAUCCAACGAAACAUAUAUUUUGAAUUAUAUAUUUCAUAUCGAAAAAUGAAUAUUGAAGUAUGAAAUAUAUAUUUUUAAUUAAAGAUAUAAAGAAAUAUUACAAUGAAAUAGUAAAGUAAAAUAUAGUCUUUUAUGCAUUAAUAAUAAAUAGAAGUGAAUAGGUUUAAAAUUGGAAUAUAUAUUUUGUUGAGAAAUCGUAAGUAGAGAAAUGACAAUAUUUAAUAUUUGAAGUAUUAAAUUGUACGAUUUUAUUAUUUUGAGUAUUAUUCUUCUAACCUAAAAAAAUCAGGUAUUAAACGUCCAAAUAAAAAAUAGAUUAGGUAUUUUUAAGUUUUUUUCCCCAGAAACAAUGGGUUCGGGUAAUUAAAGAACCAAUUAGAUUGGUUGGAUCGUACAUACUAUAUACUUUUAAGGGUUAUAACGUCAUUCUUCUAUUUUCUGAUUUAAAAUAAAUAAAAACUAAAUUAGUUUUUAGAAAAAGAGUAGUUGAGAUUUUUUUGGGGGAAUAUUAUCUAAAAUGCCAGUUUUACACCCUAAAAAAUUGGAACUACCAUUUUUCUUUUGGUCUUCUAUGGAGUGCCAUACACAGUAAAAAGGUUGUGGACAAAUAGACAAAAAUACCCUUUACCAAAGGGAGAGCAUUUUGCAUAGUUUUCAAAAACUUGAUAGGAUGAUACAUUAUUUUCGACAGCUACAGGGGGCAUUAAUUGGUGACAAGGUAAGCUAUUACCCAUAAGACUAUUGAUUUUGUUUGUAUUUAGAUAGCAAAUCAAAAACGAAAAAGAAGGUUUUUUUCUACACACCCAGUUGUCCACCAUCCUCUUAUAUGGUUCUACACACCCCAGUUGUCCACUUGUUGUUGAGUGUGGCAGGCGAGAAAAGCCAAUUAAGAAAGUGGCGGUCCAUACAAUUUUUGUCACUGUUCAUGUCAAUGUAGACAAUUUUCUCAUUCGGUCCGUUUUUAUGAUCCCCGACUUUGCAUAUUAGCUCUUAGUUCUUUCGGUCCGUUUUUAUGAUCCCCGACUUUGCGUAUUAGCUCUAAGUUCUUUCGGUCCGCUUUUAUGAUCCCCGACUUUGCGUAUUAGCUCUAAGUUAUUUUGGUCGGUUUUAUGAUACCUGAUUUUGCGUAUUAGCUCUAAGUUAUUUUGGUCCGUUUUGAUGGACUUUGCGUAAUAGCUCUAAGUUCUUUCGGUCGUUUUUAUGAUCCACGACUUUACGUAUUAGCUCUAAGGUCUUUCGGUCUGUUUUUAUGAUCCCCGACUUUGCGUAUUAGCUCUAAGUUCUUUCGGUCCAUUUUUAUGAUCCCCGACUUUGCGUAUUAGCUCUAAGUUCUUUCGGUCCCUUUUUAUGAUCCCCGACUUUGCGUAUUAGCUUUAAGUUCUUUCAGUCGGUUUUAUGAUCCCUGACUUUGCGUAUUAGCUCUAAGUUCUUUCGGUCCGUUUUGAUGGACUUUGCGUAUUAGCUCUAAGUUCUUUCGUUCGUUUUUAUGACGUAUUAGGUCUAAGUUCUUUCGGUCGUUUUUAUGAUUCCCGACGUUGCGUAUUAGCUCUAACUUCUUUCGGUCGGUUUUAUGAUCCCCGACUUUGCGUAUUAGCUCUAAGUUCUUUUGGUCCGUUUUGAUGAUCCCCGACUUUGCGUAUUACCUCUAAGUUCUUUCGGUCGGUUUUAUGAUCCCUGACUUUGCGUAUUAGCUUUAAGUUCUUUCGGUCUGUUUUGAUGGACUUUGCGUAUUAGCUCUAACUUCUUUCGGUCGUUUUUAUGAUCCCCAACUUUACGUAUUAACUCUAAGUUCUUUCGGUCCGUUUUUAUGAUCCCCGACUUUGCGUAUUAGCUCUAAGUUCUUUCGGUCGGUUUUUAUGAUCNNNNNNNNNNNNNNNNNNNNNNNNNNNNNNNNNNNNNNNNNNNNNNNNNNNNNNNNNNNNNNNNNNNNNNNNNNNNNNNNNNNNNNNNNNNNNNNNNNNNCAUUCUUGAGUGUAUCCCACAGCUCCUUGGCGGUUUCACAAUACGAGUAAGCCUCGAGAAUGGGCGCAUCUAAGGAGUUUUGAAUGAGCCCCAACACGUUUUGGUCCUCUUGGAACCAUUUCACUUCAUCAACCGGAACGGUUUCCUUGCCUUCUUUGGCUUCCUUUGGAGCUUCACCAUCUUCUAUGUGACUCCAAAGUCCACGGCCACACAAUGCCGUUUUCGUGGUCCUAGCCCACAACAAAUAGUUCCCACCCUUGAGGGUAANNNNNNNNNNNNNNNNNNNNNNNNNNNNNNNNNNNNNNNNNNNNNNNNNNNNNNNNNNNNNNNNNNNNNNNNNNNNNNNNNNNNNNNNNNNNNNNNNNNNGGAAUGGCUUGUAUAAAGUUAUUUUGGGUUAGAAUUGUUAGAAUUCAAGAGAAAUAAUGAGAAAUAGAGGUAAAGAGAUUGGUCGAACAAGAUUAGGAGAAGAAGAGAGAUUAAGAGAGUGAGAGAGGUGUGCGAGUAUGGAGAGAGUAUGGAGAAAGAGAGAAAAGUUCUCUUCUUACUUUAUUUAGAACAACAAUAGAAAGCUAUUUAUAGACAAGCUACAAAAGAAAUCGAAAACCCUAGGAGCUAUACAAGUUGACUACAAAUGAAAGUGACAUGUAUUGGUAAAAGGGCUUAAACAAACAUGUGACCCUCUUUUUGCGCUUUUCUCCAACGGCUAGAUAAGAAAUAUCUAGGCUUCCACUUCUUGAUCUUUUCCUUCUACAAUGGGGCUUCAAUGGGCUGAGAAGGUAAGCCCUUCUUCGAAGGUUGUACGGACGGUCCAAUCUCAUGUUGUACGGACGGCCCAUCUUCUCGGUAAACGUACGGUCGACCACGGACGGUCGACCUUGACAUGAUGCUCUCGAUCCCGGACAUGCUUUUCUCGAUCCCGAACAACUUCUCUCGACCACAACCAGACUUCUCUCGAUCAUGGAAGGAAUGCUCUCGACCUCGGACCACGGUAAGACAAUAUGAUCCCAUUAUGACAAAUGAUGUAACUUGAUUCACACUCCCCCUCAAGAUUAACCGUAAAGAAGCUGUUGAGGUUAAGCUUGACACCUUAUGAACACCCACCUCAUUAAAAACCUCCAUAUAGAAAACCACUUGGGAAAAACUAUAUGUGAGGGAAAAAGAGUGUGGGGAUCAUGGUUUGGUGAGAUCAAUGAGACCAAGCUUAGAGUGUAUAUACUCACAAACUUGAGGGCUGGCCGCUUUGGUGAAUAUGUCGGCCAAUUGUUCGGAGCUCUCGGUGUAACAAGGCAAGAUAACUCCAAGACCCACUUGUUCUCUAACCUUGUGACAAUCAAUCUCAAUAUGCUUCGUUCUCUCAUGGAAGACGGAGUUUGAUGCAAUAUGAAUAGCCGCUUCAUUGUCACAAUGCAUGGUGAUCGGAUCCGGAGUCUCGAUUCCCAAGUCUUUAAGCAAUGCCUUAAGCCAUAUUAACUCGGUAGUAAGCUUCCUCAUCGCUCUAUAUUCGGAUUCAGCACUAGAGAGGGAAACCACCUUUUGCUUCUUGCUCUUCCAUGUAACUAAAUUGCCUCCAAUGAAUGUACAAUAUCCGGUGGUUGAUCUUCUAUCUCCAUGGUCUCCGGCAUAGUCCGCAUCGCAAUACCCAACUAUCUCGGUGUUGUGAUUGCAUCCCAUCCAAAUUCCUUGACCGGGUGUACCCUUGAGAUAUUUGAGAAUGCGAUUGACCAUGUUCCAAUGAUGCAUGGUGGGAGCCUUCAUGUGUUGGCUUACCUGGUUCACGGAGUAACAAAUGUCCGGUCGUGUUAUAGUUAGAUAAAUAAGCUUACCUACCAAGCGCCGGUAUUGUGUGACAUCCGUGAAUGGUAUAUCUUCAUUCUCCCCCUUACCGCUAACUUGGAAAUCAACUUCAAGUGGACUUGCCAGCGGUCUUGACCCAAGCUUACCUACUUCACUUAAGAGAUCAAGGGUAUAUUUUCUUUGGGAUAAGAAGAGACCUUCCUUUGAUCUACAAACUUCUAUUCCAAGAAAAUACUUUAAUUCACCAAGGUCUUUAAUAUCAAAAACAGAUUUUAGAUAAUCUUUAGUUUCUUGAAUUCCCACCUUGUCAUUCCCGGAGAUGAUAAUAUCAUCUACAUACACAAGAAUGACUAUAAUACCUUUUUCGGUUUGGAUGGUGAAUAGGGUAUGGUCAGCCUCGGAUCGUUUGAAUCCUCGUUGAGUUAAGGUUGAGCUAAGUUUGUGGUACCAUGCCCUUGGAGAUUGUUUUAGACCAUAUAUAGCUUUGUUGAGCUUGAACACUUUUCCCGGAGCAAUCGUCUCUUCUAAACCCGGUGGAGGUCUCAUGUAAACCUCAUCUUCUAACUCUCCUUGAAGAAAUGCGUUUUUAACGUCCAUUUGCCACAGCUCCCACUCUAGAUUUACGGCCAAGGAGAGUACUACCCGAACGGUAUGAAGCUUAGCAACCGGUGCGAAGGUAUCAAGAUAGUCCUCUCCAUAGGUUUGGGUAAACCCUCUUGCCACAAGACGAGCUUUGUAUCGUUCUAUCUCUCCAUUACUCUUGUACUUAAUAGUGAAUAUCCAUUUAGAUGUAACCGCCCUCUUUCCUUUAGGUAGAUCCGAUUCAUCCCAAGUGUUAUUUAGCUCCAUAGCUUUAGUUUCUUCGUUAACCGCAUCUCUCCAAACCUUGUGAUCUUUAGCUUCUUCAUAACAUUGGGGAAUCCAGUGGAGAUCUACUUGAGUGACAAAAGCUUGGUGUUCUAUUGGAAGGUGAGCAAGAGUACACACCGCUUGUAUCGGGUGAGCUAUAGCCAUGUUGUUGUAGUACACUCGGUUGUGUUUCCAAUUUGAGGGGUGAGACUUGAUUCUUUCACUCCUUCUUAGUUCAAUGACUUCUUCUUGAGAUUCUUGUUCUUGCUCUUGAGAAGCUUCAUGUUCUUGUGAGAUAUCUUCUCUAAGAUGGUUUAAGCUUUCUUCUUCAUCACCAUGUUCUUCUAUGUUUGUAUCCAAGUCACUUUCUUCAUUGUGAAUUUCUUCACCAUUAUCAUUCGUGUCUUCUUCCCCAUCUUGGGUGGUGUUGUUUGAAGUGUUUGACCCGGAUGGAUUUUCGGUGGCUUGGUGAUUUUCAACUCCGAGCUUCUCUAAUAUGAUCCGGAGGUUAUGCGCACGAUCGGUCAUAGAGUGAGAUAGAUUCUUGAUAUCUUCCCAAUUCUUUUCUUCAUAGUACCCUUUAGAUUCUAGAAACUUAACAUCGCGCGAGACGUGUACCCUCCUUGAAUCCGGAUUAUAGCAUUUGUAACCCUUUUGUGUCGCGGAAUAACCAAUGAGCAUACAUUUGGUACUCUUUGCUUCUAACUUGUUACAGAGUUCACCUGGUUUCAACACAUAACACACACACCCAAACACGCGUAAGUGACUAAGAGAGGGUUUAGUUUUGUUAAGAACAUAGAAGGGUGAGAGGUCGCUUAGGAUUUUAGUUGGAGUCCGGUUGAUUAGGUAACACGCGGCUACCACGGCAUCUCCCCAAAACGUCUUUGGCACAUUGGUGUGGAACAUCAUAGACCUAGCCACUUCCAUUAGGUGUCUAUUCUUGCGUUCGGCCACUCCAUUUUGUUGUGGUGUGUAUGGACAACUUGUUUGGUGAAUAAUUCCAUGCUUUGCUAGGUGAUGUUUAAAAGCUUGGCUUGUAUACUCUCCCCCAUUAUCCGACCUUAAGAUCUUAAUCUUGGCAUUGUAAUGGUUAGUCACAUAAUUCUGAAAAUUCAUAAAUGCUUCAAGAACUCUAUCUUUAGAAGGAAGUAAGGUUAACCAAGUAUACUUAGACUUUUCAUCAAUGAAAGUAACAAAAUAUUUGUGAUUCUCUCUAGAUGAACAAGGAGAUGUCCACACAUCCGAAUGAAUCAAAUCAAAGCAAUGUUCAUAAAUAGUACUAGACUUGGGAAAAACAGUUUUGCAAUGUUUACCAAGAAUACAAGCCUCACAUUCAUCAUUCUUAAAACUCAUAUUAGGUAACAUAAGUUCAAGAGCUCUAGAGUGAGGAUGGCCAAGUCUAGCAUGCCAAAUAGCACUAUUAGCAUUAACAAUAAUUGAACUAAAACAAGAUAACAUAGAUGGGGAUAGGUUCGAGUCCUCUAGCACAUAUAAGCCAUCUCGCGUGGCUCCUUGACCAAGAACUCUACUUGUUUCAAUAUCCUGAAAACACACAUCGUUAGGACUAAAGAUAACAUAACAAUUCNNNNNNNNNNNNNNNNNNNNNNNNNNNNNNNNNNNNNNNNNNNNNNNNNNNNNNNNNNNNNNNNNNNNNNNNNNNNNNNNNNNNNNNNNNNNNNNNNNNNCGAACCGUGUUCCCUUUGGAUUUGAGAACACACUUCCUCGAGACUUGGGAGCUUCUCCGACCGAAGUAUGUGUUUGAUAAGGUCGUUGUACGAGGGAUUCAAGGUGAGAAGGAGACCAAAUACCUUGUCUUGCUCUCUCCUUUCAUUGAUAACGACCGGAUCUACCGUGCUUGGUCUAAGCAUCUCUAGCUCAGCCCAAAGAGAUCGGAACUUCCCAAAGUGUUUUGUAAACUCCAUGUCUUCUUGGCUAAGGUUGUUUAUAGCCCUUUUUACCUCAAAGACCCGAUUCAAGUUGGUGAUGUUUCCAAACACAUUCUUUAGUGUAUCCCACAGCUCCUUGGCGGUUUCACAAUACGAGUAAGCCUCGAGAAUGGGCGCAUCUAAGGAGUUUUGAAUGAGCCCCAACACGUUUUGGUCCUCUUGGAACCAUUUUACUUCAUCAACCGGAACGGUUUCCUUGCCUUCUUUGGCUUCCUUUGGAGCUUCACCAUCUUCUAUGUGACUCCAAAGUCCACGGCCACACAAUGCCGUUUUCGUGGUCCUAGCCCACAACAAAUAGUUCCCACCCUUGAGGGUAACCGGAACAACAAGGUUCUUCAUGACUUCCAUGAGAACGGACCGAUGGGUAAAAGAGUGUACCCGAAAAGUUUCAACAACCAAGAACACGAGUAACUAGAGAAUGAACGAGGAAGAUUUGUGAGGUGGGUGAGAAUAAGCUUGGAACGGUUUAGGAACAGAACCGCUCUGAUACCAUGUUAGAAUUCAAGAGAAAUAAUGAGAAAUAGAGGUAAAGAGAUUGGUCGAACAAGAUUAGGAGAAGAAGAGAGAUUAAGAGAGUGAGAGAGGUGUGCGAGUAUGGAGAGAGUAUGGAGAAAGAGAGAAAAGUUCUCUUCUUACUUUAUUUAGAACAACAAUAGAAAGCUAUUUAUAGACAAGCUACAAAAGAAAUCGAAAACCCUAGGAGCUAUACAAGNNNNNNNNNNNNNNNNNNNNNNNNNNNNNNNNNNNNNNNNNNNNNNNNNNNNNNNNNNNNNNNNNNNNNNNNNNNNNNNNNNNNNNNNNNNNNNNNNNNNNNNNNNNNNUUCUUGAUCUUUUCCUUCUACAAUGGGGCUUCAAUGGGCUGAGAAGGUAAGCCCUUCUUCGAAGGUUGUACGGACGGUCCAAUCUCAUGUUGUACGGACGGCCCAUCUUCUCGUUAAACGUACGGUCGACCCUUGACAUGAUGCUCUCGAUCCCGGACAUGCUUUUCUCGAUCCCGAACAACUUCUCUCGACCACAACCAGAAUUCUCUCGAUCAUGGAAGGAAUGCUCUCGACCUCGGACCACGGUAAGACAAUAUGAUCCCAUUAUGACAAAUGAUGUAACUUGAUUCACAAGAAUAUGUUAUAAUACAAGGAAUUUGAUUGAUUACAAUUGCUAGAAAUGCAUGAAGAUUUUUUAGAAGUGAGAAGAAAGACUUGUUGAAAUUUGGUCUCAAAUGGGAUAAUAAUAUGAUCUCCCUAGGAUUGAACUCCGAUGAAGGCUGAAGAUGGGUGAUGUGCGACGUGAUCUGGUUGAUGAUGAUGGACGAUGGCUUUGAGUGAUGAUGUGUGAAGAUCGAAUGAUGAAAACAAUGGUUUAAUGGAGAUAGAUGUUUAGGUGGUUGUAUGGAUUGUAACAAUGAAGAGUUUCUGAAUCACAAAGUGUAUAGAAACCCGGAAAUCUAGAACGCAUUCAAGAAUUCGAAUUGAGAGAAAAAGUGUGACAAUACUUGUUCAUACAACUUCUUUGCUAAAGAGAAAAGAGGCGUAGCUUAGGGUUUUAAAUACCCUAGGGCACGACACUCCAAACAACAAGAAGUUCAAAACCAAAACAACAAGAUGUUUUAAGGAAAUAAUAAAAACAGCAAGAUUUCCCGACGUCCUGUAGUAGUACAGAAAUCGGCUGAACUAGUACAGAAGCUUGACGACCUGUAGUAGUACAGAAGUACAUUAUUCCCCUUUGGUAAUGAUUUCUAGAUAACUCGACGUAGUGAUCCAUUUGCCUCAUUAAAAACCAUGCUGAGAAAACCCAUUGGGACAAAACUCAGCUAUGGGAAAAAGAGUACAAACUUCUCACCUAAGUUACNNNNNNNNNNNNNNNNNNNNNNNNNNNNNNNNNNNNNNNNNNNNNNNNNNNNNNNNNNNNNNNNNNNNNNNNNNNNNNNNNNNNNNNNNNNNNNNNNNNNNNNNNNNNNNNNNNNNNNNNNNNNNNNNNNNNNNNNNNNNNNNNNNNNNNNNNNNNNNNNNNNNNNNNNNNNNNNNNNNNNNNNNNNNNNNNNNNNNNNNNNNNNNNNNNNNNNNNNNNNNNNNNNNNNNNNNNNNNNNNNNNNNNNNNNNNNUCAGGUAGGUUGAAUGACUCGUCAGCUAUGAGUGCGUGUGCUUCCUUGGCCAUCUCCUUAGCUCUUGAACGAGUGAUCCUUCCCACCAUCUCCGGUUUCUCUGUAGCCUCUUGCUCCGUGCUAGCCACGAUGAUAUCAUCCUCCCCCUCUUCAAAAGGAUUUGUCCUCAAAUCGGAAUCUGCAUAGUAAGGGAGCAAGUCAGAAACAUUCCUUCUUCAAAGUUGAGCUCCUUUCUGCCCUUGUUCGCAUGUUUCUCGUACUGCUUGGUUCUUUUCUCUAUGUUCUCCUUAGCUUUAGCAUGUAUCCUCCUGACCUGUUCAGCCUUUUCCUUGCCAUCAAAGCUACACUUCACACUUAAAGGUAAAGGAAUCAAGUCUAGAGGUGAUUGUGGGUUAAAACCAUAAACAAUUUCAAAAGGAGAGAAGAGAGUAGCAGAAUGCUUAGCGUGAUUAUAGGCAAACUCAACAUGUGGUAGACAUUCUUCCCAUGACUUGAGAUUGCUUCUUACUAAAGUCCUGAAGAUUGUAGAUAGCGUCUUGUUCACUACUUUAGUUUGCCCAUCCGUUUGCGGGUGACAUGUGGUUGAGAAUGACAACUUGGUUCCUAGCUUAGCCCAUAACGUCCUCCAGAAGUGUCCUAGCAACUUUGUAUCUCGGUCUGAAACAAUAACUUGAGGCACUCCAUGUAGACGUACUACUUCCCUGUCAACCACAACAAAAAUCGAAUCUCUACCAUUUCUGGUUCGAGGUAAGCCAAGAAAUGGUGGUUUGGACUUGGGUCUUCUCUUGGGCUGUUCUACAUGGGCUGGGGCCUUGUGGUGAUUCAAAUGAGUGUGUGGACUCCCUUCAUAGCUGAUCCAAGUGUUAAAAGACUUCAAAUCCUCACAGCUCGCAAUCUGAUGUAGUUCAGGCAGUCGGUUAGCGAGUAGUUCAGGCAGUCGGUCAGCGAGUAGUUCAGCAUGCUUGUCAGCGAGUAGUUCAGCAUGCUUAUCCGUGAGUAGAUCAGAAUGUACAUCAGUUAUCAUCUUUGAAUCAUAUGGAUGGUGAAUGAUUCCUUGAUGACUUGGUGUUGCCUCAUUAAAUACAUCCUUGUACUCCUCUAUAAUCUCUAUCAUCUCGCGUGGAAGCUCUUGUGCUGAAUUAGUACUGGUGAGUGUCUCCUUAUACACAAACGUGAAUGUGGUCAUCUCUGGUUCAAAUAGCUUGUUGAACUCACUAUGAUUGAUGUACAGGCUGUGAGACACUUUUCCUGUAUCCUUGCGGUUCAUUUGAAGCUGGUCAUUGUAGACUUCGCUGGGUGUAAGUGGUAAAAGAGUGAUCUUGCGUCCUUUGAACUCAAAUGACUGCUUGUUGGUGUAGCCAUCCUGAAACACUCUUCUAUCGAACUGCCAUGGUCUUCCCAACAGAAUAUGACUUGACUUCAUUGGAAUCACAUCACAUAGCAACUCAUCCUCAUAAUUCCCAAUCGUUAGUUUCACCAUCACUUGCUGUGAAACUGUUAAAGCUCCCUUGUUGUUCAACCAUUGUAGCUGAUAAGGUCUUGGAUGUGAAGUGGUCUUGAGAUUAAGCUUCUGAACCAUCUCUUCACUGGCUGCAUUAGUACAGCUUCCUCCAUCAACGAUCAAGGUGCAGACCUUGUCUUGAACCAUACACCUGGUGUGAAAUAGGUUCUCACGCUGACCUCUAUCAUCUGGGUGUAUCUGAACACUUAAAGCUCUGCGUGCCACUAGCAUCUCUCCCAUGACUGCGGUUUCUCCUUCCUGAUCUAGUUCAGGCUCUGGUUCACUUUCUGAACUAUCUACAAGCACAAUUUCUCCUCCUUCUUGAAGAAGAAACAUCUUCUUGUUAGGACAGUCUCUCGAGUAAUGCCCCAUUCCUUGGCACUUGAAACACCUGAUAUGACUUGUAGAGGUGCUACUCUUGGGCUUGUAAUCGAUUUUAACUUCCUCUUUGACGGUGGCUGUCGCGGGUUUACUAUCCUUGGUGAAGGCGGGUUUGCUGAACUCUCUUGGCUUAGACAUAUUAGGCGUAAAUGCUGUUCUCAGCCCCUUUCUCUUGGUCUGUGAUUCAAUCAGCUCUGCCUUAUGUACCAUUUCCUGAACAUCUUCAUAGUUCUGCAACUCUACCUUGUCUUGAAUCUCUCUGUUUAAACCUCCAAGAAACCUUGACAUAACCAUGUCUUCACUUUCUCUUAGAUCAGCCCUGAUCAUAAGCGUUUCCAGCUCUUGAUAGUAGUCUCUAACAGACUUAGUACCUUGGACCAGAUACCAGGGCUUGCCUUGGCCGUAGCUCUUUGGUAGUGUGUGGGUACAAACUUCUUCCUCAUUUGCGUGACUAACUGUUCCCAUGUAGUGAUAGCAGGCUCUCUCUAUCGAUGUCUAGUAAGUCCUAGCUGCUCCCACCACAACAAAGCAUAGCCAUUGAAUUCAGAUAUGGCUAUCUUCACCUUGUUCAACUCAUAAGUACCCUGAAUUAGACUCCAUCUUCCUUUCCCAGUCUAGAUAAGUCUCUGGAUCAUUGGUACCAUGGAAAGAAGGAUAUUGAAUCUUGAGAUGAUUCAGCUGCUGCNNNNNNNNNNNNNNNNNNNNNNNNNNNNNNNNNNNNNNNNNNNNNNNNNNNNNNNNNNNNNNNNNNNNNNNNNNNNNNNNNNNNNNNNNNNNNNNNNNNNCACGACUUGCAGACCUAAUGUAGAGCAGAACAACACAAACUCGAAAAAUACCAAACCCUAUAGCUAACGACUCGAAAUAACUAAACCCUAAUUGCAGUUUAAUUUUGAAUCAACACAAAACUAACUCCUAAACGACCUAGACACAAACGCUCAAACAAAAACUAAACCCUAUUCGAUCUAGACACAAAACAAAUUCAACAAAACUCAAAACAAACCCUAAACUAAACAAACGAAAUUAAGCAAGAGAUUAGGGUUCUUAGAAUCGCUUAGCCUUGGCACAGAGUUGGCUCUGAUACCACAUAAUAUGAUUUCCCUAGGAUAGAACUCCGAUGAAGGCUGAAGAUAGGUGAUAGGCGACGUGAGUUUGUUGAUGAUGAUGGGCGAUGAACGUGAGUGAUGAUAUGAGAAGAUUGAAUGAUGAAACAAUGGUUUGAUGGAGAUAGAUGUUUAGGUGGUUGUAUGGAUUGUAACAAUGAAGAGUUUCUGAAUCACAAAGUGUAUAGAAACCCGGAAAUCUAGAACGCAUUCAAGAAUUCGAAUUGAGAGAAAAAGUGUGACAAUACUUGUUCAUACAACUUCUUCGCUAAAGAGAAAAGAGGCGUAGCUUUGGGUUUUAAAUACCCUAGGGCACGACACUCCAAACAACAAGAAGUUCAAAACCAAAACAACAAGACGUUUUANNNNNNNNNNNNNNNNNNNNNNNNNNNNNNNNNNNNNNNNNNNNNNNNNNNNNNNNNNNNNNNNNNNNNNNNNNNNNNNNNNNNNNNNNNNNNNNNNNNNNNNNNNNNNNNNNNNNNNNNNNNNNNNNNNNNNNNNNNNNNNNNNNNNNNNNNNNNNNNNNNNNNNNNNNNNNNNNNNNNNNNNNNNNNNNNNNNNNNNNNNNNNNNNNNNNNNNNNNNNNNNNNNNNNNNNNNNNNNNNNAGUACUCAUCACCGGGUGAAGUCUUCAGGUUAGAUAUGUUGAAGACUUGGAUCCUUGGUAGGUUGAAUGACCCGUCAGCUAUGAAUGCGUGUGCUUCCUUGGCCAUCUCCUUAGCUCUUGAACGAGUGAUCCUUCCCACCUUCUCCGGUUUCUUUGUAGCCUCUUGCUCCGUGCUAGCCACGAUCAUAUAAAAAGACUUGUUGAAAUUUGGUCUCAAAUGGGAUAAGAACACAAAACCAUUGCUUUGAGGCAGUGAAUGGCUUGUAUAAAGUUAUUUUGGGUUAGAAUAUGUUAUAAUACAAGGAAUUUGAUUGAUUACAAUUGCUAGAAAUGCAUGAAGAUUUUUUAGAAGUGAGACCAAAAUAUCUUGGAAUUNNNNNNNNNNNNNNNNNNNNNNNNNNNNNNNNNNNNNNNNNNNNNNNNNNNNNNNNNNNNNNNNNNNNNNNNNNNNNNNNNNNNNNNNNNNNNNNNNNNNAUCUCUCGAUCCAACCCGUUUCCAAGUCAUCCACUUCAGCCCAUUUAAAGGGCCCAAUCCGUAGAAGAAGUGGUGAAAAGAAGGAAGUCUAGAUCCUUCUCUUGUUACCGUUGGGAGCUCGCAAGUGGAGAAGUCACAUGUUCUCUUUAAGCUCCAUUACCAAAGACAUGUCGCUUUCUUGAUAUUGACUUGUAUAGCAUCUAGGGUUUUCUCAUUCUUUGUGUAGUUUUGACUAUAAGUAGUCUUGUAUUAUGUUCUAAAUCAAGUAAGUAGAGUUUUUACACUCUCUCUUCUAUUCUCUCUCACUUUUACAAACCGCAAUCUCACUUCUCCUCCUUUGUUCGAUCCAAAUCUUCUAAUCUCUCUAUUCUCUCGAUCUUUUACUUCAAAUCUUACACCAUUCACUGCCUCAAAGCAAUUGUUUUGGGUUCUUAUCCCAUUUGAGACCAAAUAUCAACAAGUCUUUCUUCUCACUUCUAAACAUUCUUCAUGUAUCUCUAGCACUUGUAAUCAAUCAAAUUCAUUGUAUUAUAACAUAUUCUAACCCAAAAUAACUUAAUCCAAGCCAUUCACUGCCUCAAAGCAAUUGUUUUGGGUUCUUAUCCCAUUUGGGACCAAAUAUCAACAAGUCUUUCUUCUUACUUUUAAACAUUCUUCAUGCAUCUCUAGCACUUGUAAUCAAUCAAAUUCAUUGUAUUAUAACAUAUUCUAACCAAAAAUAAAUUUAUACAAGCCAUUCACUUCCUCAAAGUAAUGGUUUUGGGUUCUUAUCCCAUUUGUGACCAAAUAUGAACAAGUCUUUCUUCUCACUUCUUAACAUUUUUCAUGUAUCUCUAGCACUUGUAAUCAAUAGCACCUGUAAUCAAUCAAAUUCAUUGUAUUAUUACAUAUUCUAACCCAAAAUAACUUAAUCCAAGCCAUUCACUGCCUCAAAGCAAUGGUUUUGGGUUCUUAUCCCAUUUGUGACCAAAUAUCAACAAGUCUUUCUUCUCACUUUUAAACAUUUUUCAUGCAUCUCUAGCACUUGUAAUCAAUCAAAUUCAUUGUAUUAUAACAUAUUCUAACCAAAAAUAACUUUAUCCAAGCCAUUCACUGCCUCAAAGCAAUGGUUUUGGGUUCUUAUCCCAUUUGUGACCAAAUAUCAACAAGUCUUUCUUGUCACUUUUAAACAUUCUUCAUGCAUCUCUAGCACUUGUAAUCAAUCAAAUUCAUUGUAUUAUAACAUAUUCUAACCCAAAAUAACUUAAUCCAAGCCAUUCACUGCCUCAAAGCAAUGGUUUUGGGUUCUUAUCCCAUUUGGGACCAAAUAUCAACAAGUCUUUCUUCUCACUUUUAAACAUUCUUCAUGCAUCUCUAGCACUUGUAAUCAAUCAAAUUCAUUGUAUUAUAACAUAUUCUAACCCAAAAUAACUUUAUACACACCAUUCACUGCCUCAAAGCAAUGGUUUUGGGUUCUUAUCCCAUUUAUGACCAAAUAUCAACAAGUCUUUCUUCUCACUUUUAAACAUUCUUCAUGCAUCUCUAGCACUUGUAAUCAAUCAAAUUCAUUGUAUUAUAACAUAUUCUAACCCAAAAUAACUUUNNN
RNAcentral lists this long non-coding RNA (50186 nucleotides) under Capsella rubella. RNAcentral describes it as "long non-coding RNA (CRUB_LNC005016)". Lineage: Eukaryota; Viridiplantae; Streptophyta; Magnoliopsida; Brassicales; Brassicaceae. The record is from RNAcentral.